CAUGCAGUGUGGGUUUCCCAAAAACUGUCAGCAUACUCCACAGCAAGUGGCCAAAAUAUAUCACUACGAACGAGUCAUUCUAUAGCUGUAGCAUUUUAAUAUGGUGCUGCACGCUGGAAGCGAGAUGCAUGCCGGCAAAUGAACUUUUUAUGCUUAUUUUUCGUAUUGAUGAAACCAGAACAUCCACAUUCUACAGAGGCAACAAAAAUUUACAGCUCAGCUAUGAAGUACAUCAAGCCUGUCAAACGAGCAGGUUUGGUGUAUCAGAUAUUGAUCCUACGCUGCUAUUUGGAAAUAAAGAUUAAUUGAAGCAGAAAAUAAUAAAAAAAUAUUUGGGUUAUUAUGGAACUGAUUGAUACCACCGGCGCUUUACUUCAGUUUUUGACCGAACCUCCCUGAGCCUCCCAUCAGUUCCAUAGUCUCUCUCCAUCACCAGGUUGAUCCCUUCUUCUGAGUACCACCCAACUCCGAUACAGAGUAUGCCGUCUUCACUGAUGUCAACAUAGGCAGUGACACCACCAGGUAACCAAAGCACGGUGACAUCCUGCAUGUCGAGCAUCUCUUCCUCCCCAAAGAGAACUGAACUCUCUGGCAGGGUUCUCUUCUUCACUGUCUCCAUGCACAAGUAUACGAAAGGAGAACCGCCCUCUAGUUCUUGCCUUUCAUCACUGAAAAUCGGUGUUGCACUGACUUCGUAUACUUUCCAGGAGCCUGUCAGUUCUGACGGUUUGGUCCGGCUUCUUUGAGAGAAUGGUUUAAGGUCAACAAGUGUAUCACUGCAGAGAAGAUAAAUGCAGUUCAUUACAAAACUUGUAGAGACAAUAUUAUUCAAAACUAGGCAUUUUUUUAUACACCCAGACCACAUAAAACAGUUUCUGUUUUUUUAAAUAAUCAUGAUCAUUCAUCUCCCGUAGAGAAAUUCUGGAUUUAUUAAAUCAAAUGGCUCCUCUGCUCAUAUUUGGUCUUCCAAUUUCUUUUUCUAGUUAGGGUCCGCACACAAUUACUGGUGAACCAAUAAUUAGGUUUGAAACCACAAAUAAUCAACCACUCAAUAUUAAAGUACAGGAGAAGUGGAGAACUGUACCUAGAAAAGAUUCCUGCAUUUCUAUCUUAUUAGUUUCUGUGAAGUGUGAACUGAUGUGUUAGUUUGGAAUCAUACUGCAAAACCAUAGGAAUAUGUUCCCCAAUAACCUACUCCCUCUGUUCCAAACUGUAAGUCAUAUUGGAAAAUCUGUGGACCUAGAAAAGCCAAAACGACUUACAAUUUGGAAUGGAGGGAGUAAGAAAAUUUUUGCUGCCACUUGUGGAGGACAUAUUUGAUAGACACAAAGGUUUUGUUGCCAAAUACAAAGGUCAUCAUCUUUUGGAAGUCUCUGUAGCUAAUCAGGAACAAAGUGAGCCCAAACCUUAGAAGAAUGUCACCAUACUUAGGCCUGGCCGCCUGGGCCUUCGGUCCUGACCGAGAAAUCAGGUCGGUUACUUCGGUUUUUAAAAAUUCGGUCUCUAGAUAUUGGAAACCGAUCUUCUACCUGAGUGCUGAGGAACCGAUAAUUCGGUUGCCCGAGAUGUAGGUUCGGUUUAUUGGUGCUGACCGAACCAACCGAGCAGCAGCCAUCAGGGACAGGGAUAGACAUUUGACAUUCAAUAGGGAAAACAAGAUUACUAGUACACAUGUAUAAGGCACUACACAACUGUUGUUGUUGUGCCUGAGGAGAGACCUGACGCGUGUCCUUGCCAUUGGUACUUGAGUUGGGCUCCAGAGGACACACAAUCAUUGCUGGAGGGCAAGUAGGCCUUCAGCAACAGCAUGCAGUCAUCACCCAGGGACACACAGAAGCAGAACCACGCCACUGCCGGGGCUGUUGUCACGGUGCCCGCACCAGACUUGGAAGCUUCGUCGCUGGGAUCUCAAUCGGCCGCCGCCCUCUCCCACCAACUCAUGCUCCUCCCGAUCCUCUGCUCGCCAGUGUCGAGGAAUGCAGACAGACAGUCUGAUGAGUGAUGGUCGACGGCGUUCAGGCGUGUUGUGACAGCUUGUGGGGAGGGGGGAGGAGUUGAGAGGGCAGGGGUGACUGAGCAAAGGCUACAAGAUGGGGAUGGGGGCGGCGGUGAAGGGGAAGGAUGAGAAAUAGAUUGGCCUAGUUGACUAGUUGCUGCAGAGACAGAGAGUAAAAUAUAUAUAUCGGGUAGUUCAGGACUUCGGGUAUCCGAUGAUAAGAGACCGAACCAACCGAACAUGAGUCGGUCUUCUCAAAUCUGUGACCGAAGUAAGAACCGACGACCAAAAUUUCGGCCUUUUCAGUCUCGGUCUUUUCGGGUUUGGUUUUCGGUCUCGGUUUUUUCUGCCCACCCCUAGUCCAUACUAUGAAGUGAAUUAGUCACGAUUUUUUUUAAAAAAAAAUAGUCUUGACUUUAUCUUUUUAAAACAGUUAUAUCUAUUAUAGCAUUCUUUAUCCUUUCUGGAUUGGUCCCACCAAUGUAGAACCAUUAGCAAAGCAGAUGGAAAAAAUUGUAAUUAAGCAGGCUUACUCUUCAACAUCGAUAUUUGCUGGGCUGGCCCAUUUUUCUUCAUACACAGCAACCCUUACAAUUUGUAUGUUAGCUCCUCCUUCGUUAAACUCAAUUGUAUGCACAACCCGCAAUCUCUUGUGGCAACCUUUAACAAGACACUGUAUACAAAUGGAUGUUGUAAGUUAUCAAGUCAAGUGGUAAACCAGAGUGCCAGACCCACAGGCAGCAUCAAGAAGCAAGAACCACAGUCAUCUAGACACAAAAACAGGAGCUUCUUUCCAAAAAUUAUAUUUGUUCAAACUUGAAAGUUGCAGCAGCAACUGGUUCAUUAGUAACAUAUAAUUCACAUAUAGCCCUGUAUAAGCCAAGUUUGGGAAGGAUUUUUUCCUUAUUCUUACAAAGUAAAUACACGAUUGAUGAAUUUGCUAUUUUAUUUAUACAACUGUAUAAUUCAAUUGACGUUGACUAGAAGUGGCGCAUUUACUGCACAUCAGAAAAAUACUUAUAAGCAACAAAGCCACACUAAAGGAAAAAGGUUUUGUUUCUCUGUAAGACUAACAGGUAAAGAAACACAACAUCACAAAGGAAGAAAUUCUGCAAAAGAUGGUUUCAGUAUGAUACAAGUCGCCUCUACAACAACAGAGCCUUAUAGCCCCAAGCAAGUUGGUGUAGGCAUUAGGCAAUACCAGUCAAUUUUCAUUAUGUCAAAACUAUAAUCUCUCAUGUUAGUUUGCUUGGACAACCAAAAGUCCAUCCGGCAAAAGCACAACUGGCCAAGUUAUGGCAUCACAUGUAAAAAGAGAGGGAGAAGAAAAAAUGACAAGCAUCUGCCUUGUAAUUAUCUCAAAGAAAAGAUGUUCAAAUAUGGAUAUGUGCAUGUACAGAAGCAAACUAUUCUACUUAGCACAACAAACAUUCUUAUCAAUCAAGUAAGCCUAAACUUUUGCAUGUUGUCCGUGAAAAUUGAAAAUGUAAACUUAAGUGCAGUAAACAUACUUGCUCAAACUGAUAUGUUGGUGAAAGGAAGUAUUUAGAUUCAUCAUAUUCACCAAUUGCUAUAUCAACUGGACCUCUAGAGUAUGAUCCGUCCUGAAAAUGUAAGCACAGUGGCCAAAGGAAUAAGUACUGGGUUAUUCAUCAAAAAGAAGACACAAGCGUGACAAUAACCCACUCUGCCAGAGAAGAUUAAUGGCCAGAGAAUAAAGCACUUGAACAAGAAUCGAUAUAUGAAGCAUCAAUGUCACUGAAACACGCUGAAGAAUGAUUUACUUCUUAAAUGUAGCUUGUCAACGCACAUAGAUAAUCCAGGCUUAAAUGUGUAAUAGUUCUAAAAAUUUUGAGGCAUUACCUUCACAACAAGCUUCUUUUUCCAACAGAGAACCCCAUCUAACUAUUCAAGCUUUGCACGAAGAAAUACUAAAUUACAAUUUGACAAACGAAGAAAAUGUAGGCUGGCAGCUAACAAAAAUUAUGGAUUCCUGAUUUUGCAAAACAUAGUGAAAGAUAUUGAUGAAAGGAAAUAUGCCAUGGUUUUCAAUUAGCAAUAAAUAUAAAGAAAGUUCUGCAUAUAACCAUAUCACUAGAUUUCAUAAACAGCAAAUGGAGGCGAAGACAAAAGACAACUACCUCAAAAAAUACAAUUCCAGGCUCCAUAGAAAAAGUUUCUUCAUCAAGCACAGCACUCCUGUUAAGAUCAAAAGACUCAUAUGAAGGUAAAUCAGCAGUUCCCUUCCCACUGGAAGUGCUUUGACUCCAACCGUCAUAUGAUGUGAUCUGCUUCUCAGCUUCACCAAAAGGAUUGAUUGGGACCCAAUUUGUUUUCCUUCGGAUCUCAGAGCCAUGACCACCAUCAUAAGAUUUCUCAAUGUGAGAAAGAGUGUAGCAGUCAUAAAGGUACUCUUCUUUGCUCCCAACUCCAACAGGCUCCAUCUCUGCUGUGAUUGGCGAGAAGACAGCUCCAACACCCUUCCAGUUACCACUUAAACUACUUGCAAAUGUAUCCCAAGAAGGCUUUAUGACAGGUUCCUAAGAUUGAAAACUAACAACUUCAGAAGGUUGCACCAAAUUGGUAUGGUAGUAAUAAUAAACGUUAAAUUAUUAAGCAUACAAUCUGGUGGCAGAAUGAUGUUCUCCCCAGAUUAAUGUCAACCAUUCAUGGCUAUAUGAACCCUAUCAAAAUUAGUAUUAAUUAGAAUGCCUUAACCAACGAAUUACCCAACCAUUAAUUCUUGUAUCUUUGCCGCAGCCACUGUAUAGAGUCUAAUAAACUAACUUUAAACUGUUAGUUGAUGUGAAUAACUAAAGCAACUGAUAGGAUUUCACAGGAUGAAUAGGACACCUAUCCGCCAAAAUGGUAUUAGUACUUAACUACCACUGCUGGAAAAACACGUAUCCACCUUAAAUUUAAUUCGGUAAUCAUGUAACAUAUCCUGGACAGGUCGACAGACAGCAUGAAUACCUGAGUUUGGAGCACAGUCUCGACCUCCACAAGCAUGGCUCCAGACACUAGAACCCUCGACUCCGCAUCCUUCCCCUUCCUCUUUGGUGGCGGCAGGCGGCGACCGCUGGGGCGUCUCCUGCGGCGGUGCUUCGGGCUCCGGACCGCCUCCUUGGCGGCGCGGUCGUUAUCGACGCUCCAGACGUUGUCCUUCCCCCGCGGCGACGCCUUGCCGCCGGCGGCAGAGCACGAGACGGAAGCCCUAUGGGGCGCGAUGCUGCAGUAGGAGGGGGCGCGGCGGCGGGGGGCGGAGAGGGCUAGUCCGCCACCGCUGCAUGCGCCCAGGCACGACGGCGGCAUGCUCUGCUUGCUCGGUCGUCCCGCGCGGUGUCGCUCGGCGAGUGUGGAGACUGGAAUCGGCGAGGUUGGGGAUAGUGCCAUCAAGAAAGCGACUGACACGUGGGCCGUGGGCCGCUAUGCGCGCAAGCUCAUCUACGUGGAAGUAUUUUUCUUUUCGAGUAAAGUCCACUACCCGUCCCUAAACUUGUGAUGUCGUGUCAUACCGGUCCCUAAACUCACAAAUCGAUUGUUUAGGUCCUCAAACUUGUUCAUCUGUGUCAUCUCGGUCCCUAAACUUGUUCAAUUGUGUCAUCCCGGUCCCUAAACUUAGAAAUCAUUCCUCAAAGUUGUUCAGUUGUGUCAUCUCGGUCCCUAAGCUUGGUUCUGAAUCUCAUCUGGGUCAAAACAAAGCGAUCUAACAACUCUAUAUCAAAAAAUAAUUCAUAACUUUUUCAUAUGAACUCAAAUGAAGACAAAUUUUAUACUAAAGUUAUAGUCCUCAGCACAAUCUACAACUUUGUAGUUGAAAAGUUUUUUAUUUGAAGUCGUUUAGUGUUAUAAAAUUUAAUUUUAAAUUUUAAAAUCUAUAAACUUAUAAAAAAUAUUUUGCGAACCUAAACGAUUUUAAUUUAAAAACUUUUCAACUGCAAAGUUGUAGAUCAUGUUGCUGCCUACAAUUUUGAUAUAAAGUUUAUCUUCAUUUGAGUUCAUAUGAAAAAGUUAUGAAUUAUUUUUCAAUAUAGUUUUUAGAUUCGUCCUGUUUUGACCCAGAUAAGACUUAAAAACAAGUUUAGGGACCGGAAUGACACAACUGAACAAGUUUAAGGAUCUAUACGGGAGAUUUUUAAGUUUAGGGACCAGGAUGACACAACCGAACAAGUUUAGGUACCUAAACGGUCAUUUUGCGAGUUUAAGGACCGGGAUGACACAUCCGAACAAGUUUAGGGACCGCCGAUGGACUUUACUCUUUCUUUUUUCACGUAAAUCCUAUUCACAGAACAGUCAGACUCGUGUUUAGCGAGCAAACACCUGAAUUCAUGGCUGUAUCCAAAUAUUUUAAGACCCUGGUGCAAAAUUUAAAAUGAGCCCUUGCAUUUAAGAUGUGCAGUAGGCCAAAAAAAAAUUUAAAAAUCAUUUCUCCCUUUAUCCUAAAAUGUAAGAUGCACAUGUAUUUGAGAUUUGAAAUUCAUUGUCUUUAAUUGAUCAUUAGUCUAAUCAUGUGAAAAGUUUGUGCAAAAAAGAUUAAAAUUGGAUUUAUAUUUAAGAAUAAUUUGUAAUGGUCAAAACCUUUGCCACGAAUGAUGGCAGAAAUUAGUAGUCGAUGAAAGACCUUAAAAAUCACACCAUGCAAGUCAAACAGUGGAUUGUAUUUUCAUGCAUACAAUUUGCAGCAGCAAAAGCUACGGCCGUGCUGAGAUUAGAAGCGAAUGGACCAAAAAUAUCAUUGAUGGAGAUGCCCCCAAAUAGAAUUGAGAUAUGUGUCUCCAAGGUGCAAGUAUAGUGUACUCCCUCCAUCCACAAAUGAAUGUAAACUAUGAGAUUUGUGAAAGUCAAACGAACUAACUUUGAUCAACUUUAUAGUACAUUUAUGUAUAUAAAUAUGCAAGCAUUCAAAAAUUAUAUCAAAAUAUAAGGAAUUAUAGGAACACAAAGCAAAUUUACAUUAAAUGCUUGUCAUUUAUCAAUGAAUCACCGUUAGUCUGAUGGUGUCUGAUUAAUUGGAAAAUAAAAAGAGGACAUAUAUAUCUUUUAUAUUCUCUUUAAUCUAUCCUGAAAUCAUUAGAAUGCACCACAAUACAGUAUAGAAAGAGUAUAUUUAUUAUAAGAACUAGGAGAAUACCCCGCACGUUGCUGCGGGGAUUCUAGAUAAUUUAAAAAGAAAUUAGACUAUUUAUAUUUAUAGUUAUAUGGAUGAAACUAUCUUAAAUUAAUUUUGAUGAAUGGUUUGGCUGGCCAACUAAAUGCAUGUUAGUGGAUGAAAAGAUAACUAUCAUAAUUAUACGUGCUAGUUGGCUAUAAUUGCAAGUUUUAGAGGAUUGUUGAUGUGGAUAGCUUGCAUGUUGAGAAAAUUUUCUAAUGGGGUUUAGCUUUAUAAGAGUAUAAGAUGUAUUUUAAGUUAUUUAUUUUGUAUAUGUCAGUAGUAGUUUAUAUACCUUUGGUUAACAUUUAAAUUAUUUGACUUCUUAAAAAAUGAGGAUUGCAUUUUUUAAUGGACAGGGUAGUAUUGUUUCUUUGUUCCAGGAACACAGCCACACAGGCAUAGGAUCAUUUCGAAAAAAGUUUUUUUUUAAAAAAAAAUACCCAUCGUCGUGAGACAGACAAGACUUGCCCGGGUUCGGGCACGGAACUGAUCCGGCACCUGAUGCUUGUUUGAAAGCCCGAAGGCGCUGACCGUUGGAGACUUGUGAGUUCUGAGACGCAUCGUAGGCCUUGUUUAGUUCAUAAAAAAACAUUAAAUUUUUUGUCGUAUGCAUGAAGCAUUAAAUAUAAACGAAAAUAAAAAACUAAUGAGAUGAAUAUUUUAAGUUUAGUUACUCUGUGAUUAGACAAUGUUUGUCAAAUAAAAACGAAAUGCUACAGUACCAAAAACAAAAAAUUUUGCCAAGUAAACAAGGCCGUAGCCUGCCGCUCGCCGACGACCAAACCUGUUGCGAGCUGCGAUGGCGGAGGGGGCCGGGGCCGAGCGCGUCCGGCACCGCCGCGCGCGCAUCAAUGCCCGCGCCCGGUGAACGGUGAUUAUGGCCGCACGGCGGUCGGUUGGCCCGGCCUUGUCGAACAGCUAGCUCUCGAUCGGUACCGAUGCGACGAGUAGCUUCCGCGCGAUCACUGCGCGUCCGCCGGUUAGGCUGGUCCAGAAAAAAAAGGGACAUCGUUUUUAUUGACUCCAAUUAUGAGGAGCUGCCUAUUGAUUCCGGCCGAGUAGCCGAUGACCGACCGAGCAGGCCCCCCUGCAUGCCACCGACAAUGCGAUCGAGUCGCCAAUCCCAGAGUAGUCCCAGCUCAUUUUUUUCUGAAAUUGUUGCUUCCAUCCAUGCGCGCCACAUGUACGUACUAGUACACAAGUCGGUGGCUGUGCACAAGCACAGUGCGGUUGCGUUCGGACAUCAACAACGUGUCUCGCGGACCAUGCGUCGAAUUGGCGGCACUCCUUUAGUUUGUUGAAUGGCUAAUAAUUCAUUGAAAGUAGCAGCGGUAAUCGCCGGUGGCAUGGAGAUCGCGAAUCGAUCGAACGAUCGUUGGAGGCGUAGGCAUAUGCAGUACAGUAUACAGUAUGACGUCGUCACAGGCGGCUAAUGAUCACAACGGGGGUAGUAGUUAGCAAAUGAUUAGUAAAGAUGGCUUUGCUUUCCUUGCAAUGCAUGCAAGAGAUCAGCGCCCCUCGGCAUCUCCAUGCAUGUUUUGCACACGCUGCAGGUCGUUACACGUAUCAAAAAGGGCAAAUCAUCAAAUCUAAAUAAAGGCUGAUGGGAAAGAAAACCACGCACCACCGCCGGCGGCGAUCGAGGCUCGCGCGCAUCGCAGGCAAGCGCAGGUGCGCCGGCGGCGGUGCACCUGUUAGCACUAAUGCGCGGCUCGCUAAUCAUUGUACCACAGAUAUGAAUCGAGGUGAGCCCUCGCGCGACCAAACGAGGAGCUAGCUGCCUUAAGUUUAAGAGCUAGGAGCUGCCGAUCCAGGCUGUCCGUGGAGACUCCUGGGCCACCAUCUGGUUUGCGAGUCCCUUUCAGGUACAAGGCCGCCGUGCAACAACGGUAGGAGCGAUCGAGGCUCAGUGGGUGGCUAGACAAGGUUAAUUAAAUUAAAUCUCUGUAGCCUGUUGUACCCUGUAGGGACUCUGGCAUUACCUUUAACUUUUCCCCCGACGCUCUGCAGUUACUGGGAGCUCAAACUAUUUUCCUUCUCUGCAGGCAAUGCGUGUUCCAUCAGUAAGAACACAACAGGAGUACAGGACGGUGUACGUGCUGGGUUGGGUGUGAUUGCACUGUACUGGUUGCUUUCGGCUCUGAGUAACGUAACGGGAUUUGUGCUGAUUGCUCUUCACUGGACACUUUAGAAACCGAAGUGCACGCAUCAUGCAGAGUUUCAGAUUUUCAGAAGCAUAGUGAUUCAUCCAUUCACACAAAUUCUUCACCUGCGGGUUCCCUCUCUUUCAAGUAUCGAUCCGCAAGCAAUUAAUGUACAUUGUUAGUACUGUUUAACAAAGAAGAUACUGUGACAACAAACUAGAAAUGCGACCACACCUACGUAAGUAGAUCUCGACCGGCGCACCUGUACUGAAAGGUGCGGUUUUGUCUACGAAAUCUGUACGUAUACGCAUGCAUGGCUGGAUGAUAACUAUCCCUCCCUCGUACCGAACCGAUACUCGCCGCGUGUACGUACGAAAUCACUGUCCACAUCAUCAUCAUCAUCACAAACUGGCCCCACACACUGACCUGUAAAGAUGGCUCAUUUUUUUUCCUUCCCUUCCAUGGGGCCUUCGCUGUCAGCUCAGGUUCACCGUUCAGUUUUAACACGCACGAUCAGGAGAGAGCACGCUAUAUAUAGCGGCGCAUCGUCACUGGAGCUCUCUCACUGCACUCCACGCUGCUCAGGUCGGGAAACACAGCACAGAGCGCGGGGCAACACCGCAGCAACAGGGAGGAACGAAAGCUUCUGCGCCGAUCGACCGAGAAGACAAGAGGGAGCCGGCCAGCCACCAGAAGGAGAACGAGUUCGGGAGGAGGGAGCGGACGGAUGGCAAUGGCUCUGCUCCCGCUACUGCUCUCGCUCCUCAUCGUCUCCUGCGCCGCGCAGUCGCCGGCCUCCUCGCCGUCCGCGUCCAAGGCUCCUCCGGUCGUCAGCGCCUCGGCGCCGCGGGCCUUUCUCGCGCCACCGACAAAGGCGGUCUCGGCACCGCAGGCCUCUGUAGCACCACCGACAACGGCGGUCUCGGCGCCGCAGGCCUCGGUCGCGGCACCGACAACGGCGGCCGCGGCACCGCAGGCCUCUGUAGCACCACCGACAACGGCGGUCUCGGCGCCGCAGGCCUCGGUCGCGGCACCGACAACGGCGGCCGCGGCGCCGCAGGCCUCUGCACAGCCGCCAACAACAACAGUUGCCGCGUCACCGACACAAGCAGCCUCCGCGCCUCAGGUCUCCGCCGUGGCGCCGACAACUGCAGCCUCCGCGCCGCAGGUCUCUGCCGCGGCGCCACAGGCCUCCGCCGCACCUCCUACCUUCGCCGCCGCGCCGCAGACCACAGCCGCCUCCCCACUGCUGGCUGCCACGUUGCCUCCUGCUUCCUCCCCGCCACUAGCUGCUACGGCACCUGUCUCUGCCACCCCUCCAGCCACGCUACCUCCCGUCUCAUCGCCUACCGUCGCCGUCGCCGCGCCAGCCCCGACGACUCCGGCUCCGGUCGCCGCCCCGCCCCUGGCAAUGUCACCAGCGGCGCUUCCUCCGGCCACGUUCCCUCCAGCAACGGCUCCGACGCCAUUUCUCGCUGCCCCGAUCCUGCCUCCCACCGCGCCACCGGUGGCUGCACCCGCGCCGGCCCCCGUGUCUCCGGCUCCGGCUCCAAGCGUCGCCCCGACCCCGUCGCCGACAGAAGCCCCGACGCCGUCGCCCACCGAGGCCCCAACCCCGUCGCCCACGCUGGCGCCGGAGCUGGCGCCUACGCUCGCGCCGUUCAGCUCGGUGUCGGUGAGCCCGUCGCUGGCGCCUGGCCCCGCGCUCGCUGCGGAGGAGGAGUCGGCCGCGCCGAGCUCGCGCACCGGCGUCGCCGCCGCCGCUCUGGUGUCGUCCUUGGUGGCCGCCGGGCUCAUCGUCGUCUUGUUUUAAGUAGAGCUGAGUUUACCGUUGUACGUCCGUACCGUUCCUCGCACGUUCUUGUCCUCCUGUUGUUGUUUUACAUUCUUGCUGUACAACACAUUGAUAAUUUAUUUCUUUCUAUUCAUGUAUGGAUGACGGACUGCCUGCCUGCUGCUUUGUGCUAUCUUUUGCAUUGCGGGGAAGAAGCCUUUGCGUUGCAUGAACAUACUCUCAUGCGUGAGCGUGACACGCAUCAGUCUUUGUGCCUUGUCGCUAGUAAAAAAAAAACGCGUCUCAUGCUGCGGCUUUGUAGGCUUUGCUGUCACGUAAACGGACGUGAAGAAGCCUAAUAUAGGUCUUGUACUUCAAAAAAAUUUACAAAACUUAAUAAAAUUUUUCAUCACAUCGAAUUUUAUAAUACGAACAUUAAAUAUAGAUAAGAAAAAAUAACUAAUUGUAUUAACUGUAAUUUGUGAAACAAAUUUUUUAAACUUAGUUUAUAAUUAGAUAGUAUUUACUAAAUAGAAACGUUGCAACUAAACAAAGCCAUAUAGGUAGAUGCAGGCGAAGACGAAUAAGAAGUUUCCGUGACCAGCUGUAAGUGUAACAGUACGGCACUGACGAUGGUAGAUCCGGGUGCUCUCUUGCCGACAGUUUUUAGGAGUCAAGACAGGAACUUGUAGCGGUACCGACAGAAGUGACAGGAAACGCGACGCACGUACUACAACGCAGCCGUGCAUGCGCCAAAUCGCAGAAGCAUGUGAGACUCUCGGCACCACGAGGGACGAGGAUCCGUAGGGACACUGCUGCCGCGUCGUCCACCGGGUGGGUGGCCAGGGGCCAGGCGCGGGCCGUGGCCGCUGCUCCCAAAAGGUGACGAAACGGAGCGAGCCCAAUGAUACAUCCUCAAAUCAUUCAUCCACCACCCACCGUUUUGUUCGCGUUUGACAUUUGUUAGCCUGACUGACACACCGUGCAGGUGCAGCGCGUGACGGGUAAGCACUCCAUGCUCCACUACGCCACCGAGAGAGAAAAAGAAAAAAGCCACUAAUUCGCCGAGGGAACCGUCAGCAUGACACGGCGAAGGCAUGGCGUCGGUUGAGGGAGGAGGCAGAGAGAGAGAGAGAGUGGGGAAACAGAGCAAUGAGGUGGUAGGCUGCCAGUGCACCAUCAUCUUCUUACUGGCACCGCGUGGUCGAGCUCGCUCGAUCGCUGCUGGCGGUCGCAGGUAGUGCACUCGAGAUCGACUUGCCCUGUGAAUCCUACUGUGGUGGCUCUGUCGCGAGCGCGUGGGGCGGGGGCGCCGCGGCGAAACAUGCGCCGGUCGCGCGGUCGGUCGUGUGUUGCUUGGCGCUGGCAUGGUUGUGAGAGGGCAUCGUCGUAUCGAAUGUGUAUGAACCAUAUGAGCAGCUGCCAGCUGGGACUGGUGAGCGACGGAUCCACCACGUACCGGCAUGUACUGUACCGUCUCUGUACGUGUGAUCGUUGGGAGAUGGACCCCGAGUCACCUGCUGCCGAUGACGAGGCGUACGGGGGUACUAGCGCUUCGUGUCUCGUCUGCCAUGCUCGGCGGCCCCGGUCCCCGGUCCUGUUGCCGCCGUGUGCGCGGUUUGGCGUUUUACACGGUUGGUUGCCGAUGCGGCCACCGGCCAGCAGCCUGCUCCUCCCAAGUGGUCAUGCGGUUCAUCUACGUGAACUACAUACGUCCGCCGUUCGUCCGGGCGCUGACUGAAGUUCAAGGAAGUAGUAGGGAUGAACCGCCAAAUAUUCAAAAUUGAGGGUUUAGGUAAUUUUGCCUACAAUAAGUCUUAACUCUUAAAGCUUAAUAAAAAUCAAAGUCAAAACACCUCUUCCUCAACAAUCUUCAUACAAUCAGAGCCGCUGCUAAUACGAGCAGCCAGGUCACCAGCAAGGGGCCUACCGUAGCUCGGUGGGACCCGCCGAGCACGAGGUAGGGGAUGCCCGCGUCGUCGUCGGUGGUAGGAGGCCCAAGGGUGGCCCCGGAGCCCGUCUGCGGCGGCGACUGCGGCGGGGCGCCCGCCGGAGCUCCUCCUCCCGCCGCCGGCUGGUUGACCAGCACGUGCAGCUUCAUCCCGCCCAGGCAGUGCAGCUGGUUGCCGCAGAUGAAGUACCGGUCGCCGGCCGCCGCCAGCGGCACCGUCGUGUUGCCGUCGUUCUGGGACAGGACCGCGUCCGCGGCGCUGCAGUUGUUGUACCCGGCCUCGUCGACUUCGUCCAGCGUGUGGUAGCUGGAGUACUGAAACACUGCAUCAUAUCAUAUCAAGGGGAACCAACGCACUUGUAAGCAAAUUAACGUGUGAUCUUGUGUGUUGCAUUACAUAUAACCAGUCAAACACGUAUGGAUUUAUGCGUCUUGCAGCACGACCCCCGACCAGGGACGUCGUCUGCUUUUGUUCCCGGUCGAUCGAACGGUGAAACAAAACCUGAACCGCGACACGUUUGGCUCUUGUGUACACGAGACAGAGCAGGGGUAUGAUGAUGAUGAUGUUGCCAGCCAAGGUUCGUACGUACCUAGAACGUCGCCGACGUAGAAGGUUUUGCCGCCGGCCCACGACGGCAAGUCGGCGCUGGGAUCCCACCCGGCGCUGUUGCCGACGUUGUAGGAGACCGCCUCGGCUCUCGGUGCCACGCCGGCGACGAGGAGCAGGGCGCACAACAGAGCCAGAGCGACGCGAGCUUGAGCCAUGGUAUGGUCUCUGUGCAGUGCAGGGAUCCAAAGGUUAUCCAUGCGUGCCAAAAAAAGCCGGGAUAUAUACGAGAACGGCAGUUCUUGGUGAAGAUUGGUUACCUAAUCAGCUAAUUUUUUCAAGCGCGUUAACCAGCAGCUGCUGUGCUCGGAUGCUUCAUGGUUGCACGCGAGCGAAGCGGCACAAGUCAACGGCUGGCAGGGCUCCAAUUGGGAAGGUGAAGCGGUCUUCUACUCGUCGUUUUUUUUUACGAUGGUUUUGAUGAUUUGAAUAGGUGAUGCCGGUGAGGAAACUGGGUGUGUUUGUUGAGGUUUGGUGGUGCAUUCUUGCGUGCCGUUGGGUACUAGGUAUUGGCGGUUAAGCAGCCUUGCUCCCCCUCCAAACCUUUUGUGUGGAGAGGUGAUGUCAUUCUCAUGUCAUUUUGUGUUCGGUGUUCCUCGCGUGAGCACAAAGUCUCCUUCGUGCUUGUGCUCGAUUGAGAUUGGCUGUGAAUCCAAUCCGGGUUGGAUCGAGCUCGGUAAAAUCUUUGUUUGAGCAGCAGCGGCAUGUGUAAAGAACAGAGUCUGCUUAUUGUUUUCUACUCUCUGUUUUAAAUUGAAAUAUUUUAUUUUUUAAUAAUAAUUUACGUAUACAUAUUGUAUAUCUAAGUGUAUAUUAAAAAAAAUAUACUCUCUCCGUUCUAAGUUAUAAGAUAUUUCAAGAAUUUUAGAGUGUUAGUUUAGUCAAAAUUAUAUGAUAAAAUAAUAAUAUUUAUUAUACCAACUAAGUAUUAUUAGAUUCUUUAUGAAGUUUUAUUCUCAUCAGUACAAGAGACAACAGAACUGUAUCACGAGUAGCCAAAAAAAUCAUAACAAAAAUACAGAUACACAAACCCAGCACUCUUUGGACGUACUACAGUAUUAGCCUACUAUGGUAGUAGUGGGGUAGUAGAGCAUAAAGCGGAUCACACAUGUGCAGGUCGGAGCCCCGGGGGACGCAACGCAACGCAACGCAACGCAAGCAGAGAGAACGCACGAAACCAAAUAGGAAAUUCAUGUCGUCAAAAAAAUAAAAAAAAGAGAGGAAAUUCAUGAAACCGCACUGCCUUUUCCCUAGCGGAUCCUGAAUUCAGCCCAUCAUCAUGAGGGCAGCGAGGCCCACGGCCGCGAACAGCAGGCCCGUCGCGAGGCGAGCCCCUGUGCCAGUGCCAGCCGCGCUCGAGUCCGAGUCCGACUCGCCCGCAGCCGCAGCGUCGUCCGUCGCCGCCGCGCCACCAGACGCCGGCGUCGUGUUCGUCGCCCGCAUGGCGGGACCCGACGUCGUCGCGGCGCUGCCGCUGCUAGUGCCGCCGGAGACGGUGAUGGCGAGCUUCAUCCCCGAGGCGCAGUGGCCCGGGGCGCCGCAGAUGAAGUAGCGGGUGCCGGCCUUGGUGAGCGGCACGGUGGUGCUCUGGCCGUCCCGGUGCGACCGCAGCGGGUUGCUCGCCGAGCACGCGCUGUGGUCCGCCUCGCUCACCUCCAGCACCGAGUGCGACGAGCUGUACUGGAACGCUGCAAUGCGAAAUCCGGCCAAGCCGCGCGUGGUUACUAGUGCUCGUUUCGUUCAUGCGCCGGCCACGUACUGCCUACUGACAUUACGAGAGAACAUAUAUGCUGCAUUGACAGUAUUGGCGAUCGACUACUGUAUGAAUCUGAUGGCGAGCUUUAUUUGGCACGUACAGAUCGUGUCGCCGAUGGCGAACGGCUUGCCCUUGGCCCAGGCAGUGUAGUCCACUCCGGGUUUCCACCCGGACGAGUCGCCGACGGUGUAGUCUUUCGCGGACGCCGGCACGACGGCGGCGGCGGCGACGAGGAGGACGAUGGCCAUCAGAAGCAUGCCGCGCAGAGAGCCGGCCAUUUCUCCUAGCGCGCGAGAUCGAUGCUGGCGGAGUAUCGAAGCAGAGACGACGCCAAAGAUUGUAGGAGAGAGUGAGGUGAGUCAGGAAAGGCGUUCGAGAAAAAAGGUGAGUCGGGAAAGUGAUCAAUGGACAAGGCUGUUUAGGCGUUGAGAACGGUUCUCUUAUAUAUAUAGGCCAAUCGGUGAUCAUCAGGCGUUGUUUAAUUUUUUUUUUGUCUCCGUGAGAUAUAUGGAUAUUUCGUUGGUUAUUAGGCCUUGUUUACAUGUCUUUAAAAAUCCAAAAGUUUAUAAAUUUUUUCAUUAUAUUAAAUUUUUAGACGCAUGCUGCUACAAUAACUAGAUCCAAAAAAACUUUCAAAUAAAAGUACAAACAAAAGUGCUACGGUAUCUAAAUUCAAAAUUUUUAAAAAUGUAAAUAAGAUCUUAAUACGGUAGUAGUGGUGGUGGCGGAGGGUGGCCGAAUUUCGUUAAUUACGUACCGGCAUGUCGUGUCACUUUAGUCUUCGCACAGAUGCGUACGACGAAGGUAUUUAGUGGCUUCCUUUGCCCCAGGGAAAAGAGAAGAAAUAAGAGCCUGGAAAUGAUUAAUGUAUACACCUAAUACAAAGGUGCACCACCGUAUAAGUACUUAUUAGUAGUAAAUAGACGAUGAUGGCUGAACAAAGCCAAUAAUUUGUCUACUACCGAGUUAUUAUUUUUUUGGUAGAGCAUCGCCAUUGAAUGAGUUGCUUUGCUUAUUGCACAGAGAACAUGGACAGCAACCUGGAACCAUUACCGUGGGCAUUGCAACGGUCAGGGAAUGGAAAAUUCACGGAAAAUAGUUUUUUUUCUCUUGAAUGAAUAUAUAGUUACAUGCGAUGCAGUUUUUUUUGCCCUUAAGGGCAUAUGCUCCCACUCUCUCCACCACUGAAUUCGAAUUUAGAAGUGUGCAAACACACAUUUCAAAGCAGAUUCACAUUGAGAUGUGUGUUUGCACACUUCUCAAUGUAAAUCCAGUGGUAGAGAGAGUGGGAGCAUAUGCUCUUGAGGGCAAAAAUAACUUUUCCUAGUUAUAUGCGAUAAAAGGGCGAUUCUUGCACCAGCACUACAACUGUUACAUUUUUGCUGUGCAAUUGUGCAUUUGGUUAGAACGAGUUGGAUGAAAUUUGUCACCAUUUGACAUCCGUUACGUGGGACCUGCAUGUCAUCCUCUCUCACCUGCAUGACCUUUCUAGUGCCCAAGGACCAAAGCUAUAGUACCAGACUCAGGUUUGCCAUCCGAUUGAACAAACGUGGCAGUUCGUGUGUGUGACCAUGCAAAAAUAUUCACCUUAACAAAUGGAAAGUUAAUGCAAUAGCUGAGCCGAAGCACUCCGCUCUCUCGAGAGGCCCCUCAUCAUGCAGCUCGCUACUACCAGAUGGACAUCCUAGGCCACACCAUGACAAAAUUCGCAACAAGAUUUCAACGAAGUCAAGGAUCUACAGACUAAACUCCUCUAUCUGAGUGGUCUCAUAUAGACAACGCAUCGCUUUCCUUUUGCGAUGAUAAUACUUGACGAUGCAACAAAAACAAUAGCCAUUCCAGCAAACUGAAAAGCAUAGUGCAACAAGCCCAAGACCAUCCAGAAAAUGCAACAAAUAAAAAAUAGUGCUGCAGGCGUACAAGUAGUAUGCAAUACACAUGCAACUGAAAUGAUCUCGCGCCAGGCAAAGUAGAUAUCCCUAGCUAUAUUCAAAUCAACAAGCAAGCAACUCCAUCGUCCACCGAAACAAAUCAAAUCAUAAAGUACAGAGGAACUCCUUAUUAAAAAAGUGUAGAGAGAAAGAUGAUGGAUGCUAUGAAAUCAGAUCGGACCCUCCAAACAUGAUUUUUUUUUCAAGUAAUCCACCAUGCUCCGACUCUAUAAAAGAUGGCCAGGGCGCUAAUUUACAGGUGGUGUAGUCUCUUCUGAGAUAUUGGAUAAAACUUGCAGGUGUAAGGAAGGAGAUAACUGCUUAGGUUAAUAGCUCCUAUUUCCUACUAACACCGUACCAUUGCGUUUUGGAUGUGUUGACAGUUAAAAUUAGCUUGAUUGAAUUUUGUUGUGUGAGCGUCGAAUGAUCCGGACCUAGACUGCAGUCACCGAACUAUGUGCCGCUAAGAAUAUUGUGAAAGGCCAAGGAAAAAGGUUCAUGCAUGGCCAUUUUUUAAGAACAUCAUUUUUUAGGUAAGGAAUAAAGUUCCAGCCUCUAUAUCAUCCAUAAAUGGUACAUAGCUGAGGUGAGUCAAUACAAACCGGAGCCACUAGGGUCAAAAUAUUACAUCCAAGAGUUUUUUGACAAAAACUGGAGGGGUUUGCACCCCUACAGAACUUUAUUGACUGAAACACAAAAGUACAAGAAAAGCGGUAGAACAAAGAGGAAGAGUGUUGAUGUUUUCUUAUUUUAGAUAAUUUUUAGCUUAGAACCAUUUCCACCAGGAGGCUAGGCUUUCAGCAUAAAGCGGAUGUAACGCUCUAGAGUCCAAACGGGUCAGAUGUAGUCUGCAUGAUGAGUGAACUAUAUAUCACCACUAAGUCAUUUAUCCUUUUAUUCUCGCUUCACGCAAAAGAGUUAACCCAGGAUGGUGCCCUGUACUUUAGAAAUCUUAUAUAUUGAUGUAACCCACCUCUAACAACUAAGGUAGGAUUAAACUCACAUAACCCCACAUUAAUAUACACAUGGCUCGCUAUGGGUCAAAUCUAACUGAGACGGUGUCAUACUAUAUUUGUCCUAUUUAUUUGUGGAAGUAGGGAUAAUCUUGUCACCACACCAUACGGGGAACAAAGUUGUAAGGCCCUAAUUGCUUCAAAGCUUCCACACCAUUGAUUGUGUUCAUUACAAACUUUUUUCACGAGUUGCAUCUCGUAUAACUGAGUUUGUUUGCUUAUCUGAAAAGUCAUGACUGAAAGUACUAUUUGUUAAUUUAUUAUAAGAAAAAAACACUACUAAAUGACUGACAAAUUCGAUAAAUAAGCUUAACGAACAAGACCAGUACAUUGCUAACGAACGGUUCACAAAGGAACUUCUGGAUCACUGUGAAAAAAGUCACAGCUUCAUAGUGGUCCGAGUCCCAUCUUCACAGGCCUAUAUUUUUUUUUUGAAGUACAGCCACAGCACUCUUCACUGAAGAAGUGACGACGCAUCAUGCAACUAUAGAACAGCAGCAGCAAGGCACUUCGAAAUUACAUGUAGUUCGGCACUGUCACGCUGAUCAAGAGCUGGGCACCACCAGCAGGCAUCACGACCACGAGCCCCUCGUCGGCACUCGAUGAGAUGGAGUAGGACACGUGCACGGGCUUGCUCCCCUCCAGCGCCAGGUCCUCGAGACCGGCCUCGCUCCACUGCGCGACCCUCGCCGCGAGUCCGUGUCCAUGCCCAUGGCAGGCCUCGCGAUCACCGUAACCCACCGUGCCGCAGCAGGUCUGGACGUGCAGCCCUUUCGAGCUGUCGCGGGCCAUGACCGUGAACCGCGGGGGCUGCUUGGCGCCGCCGAGCCUCUUGCUGGCCAUGCCGACGCAGGCCGCGGCGAGCGCGCGGUGGUCGGAGGUCGUGUCGGGAGCCCCGAAGAGCACGGUCGUCGUCGUCGUCGUGCUGUCGUCGGCAGCGGUGGUCGCAAUGCCCAGCGUGGAAGUGCCGGACUUGACGCGCUUGGCGGCGCCUGGGCUCUGGAUGUAGUGCGUGUACUGGAUCACCGGGUGGGCGACGUGCUUGCUUUGCGCUUGCAUCUCCGCGUUCUUGCGAGCCCACGACUUGAGGAAGCCGAUGAGGGACAGCGGGUCGGCGAGCAGCAGGCUGCAGCUGACGCCGACGGCGUAGCCGCCGUCCGAGAAUCGUGUCAGCUGCAAAAGAAUUAAAACAGGAAAUAUAUUGUUACAUCUAGUUGCGACUUCACUGACUUGUGAGUAGUUAUUACUUGUGACCGAUGACUGUGCCUGCAUGAACAACGGGGCGCAGAUGUCGGGCUCGUGCACGUCCACGUCGGUCCACAGCGCCAGCGCGGCCUCCUUCCGUUCCCGGUCGACGCCCCUGGCCUCCAGGAACUCCGCCAUGGUGGCCUCCACCGAGGCCUGGACCAGCCGCACGCCGGUGUCCCUGAGCUUCACCUCCCAGAGGCGCCCGUCGUCGUCGUCGUCGUUGCCGCCGUCGCCACGGCGGCGCAGCCGCCCUGCCAUCUCCGGGUGGUCGACCAGCGCCGCGCAGAGCGACUCCUUCACCCACGCCGCACGCUCCCUCGCCGCGGCCUCCGCCUCUGCGCCCGCGCCGCGGUAGUAGAGCACGGCGCGGAAGCGGCGCUGCAGCUCCGCGGCGGUGAGCGGCGGCCCGGACACCGCGAUGGGCAGUGACUUCCCCGCCCCGGCCAUGCGCAUCGGGACGGCGGUCUGGAGGGACUCGACGUGGAUAAGCAUUGGCGCCGUUGCGGCCAUUUUGGCGUGCUCCUAGCUGCCUCUGGCCGGCAGAAAGAAUAGGAAGUUCUUGGCCGGAACUACAAGUAUAUGGUGCGUAUUGGAGCCCUGGAACAGGCUCACUUUUAUAUACGGAGUACGUGCCAAUACAAUUCCCAAUGCUUUUUUUUUUUGCGGGCAUGCAAUUUUCUUUCAAAUUUGUAAAAUUUCUUGGAUGGAUACUUCAGUACCGAUUAUUGUAGAUAGUUGGUGUGGCUAAUUCAGUGUAGAUUUUGUUAGGCGCUUCAUAUCACUAUCACUUGGGAGUUGGUAGAAAAUGUAAAAGGUUCAGACACGUUCUUGCUUGUUUGGACGAUGUAGCUGGGUUUUGGCUAGCUACUCUUGGCAAAUUGAUGGUUUAUUAUUAAUGCCGAGGCGGUUCAGGUCACACAUAUGGUACGUGCUUAUUUCUAGAAGUUAGUUGCAGAAUUUGUUUGCCUACUUUGAGCUUUUCAUGACAAAGUGCUUGCUCUUGAGACGGACAUCCUUCCAUUCAAAAAGGGCAAAACAAGGCAGCAAACAGGGCUACCAAUCACAGAAGCAGCGAGCCUAUGAAAGUGUAUGAGCUAGUAUGAAGUAAUGAAUCACGAGAUAAUAAAUCUCAAGUAAAGUGUAAAGAUAGGCUAACAGCACAUAAAAUUUAGAAACAGUCUCAAAAGGUCUCUUUUUCACUGGAAGCGUUAGAGAAAAAUCUGACAUCACAAUUCACAAGAGCAUUUGUAGUGCAGAAUUGGAGAGAGCAAACAUUAUUACAGGCCGAUGCCUUCCUUGCUUUGCAGAGAUUGCAGAAUUGUAAAAGGUGUUCUAGUGCUAUGCACUAUGCAGAUGUGCAGCUAAACUAAUCCAAUGCCCAAAGCCAAAAGAUUACCCACGAACUGUAUUACUCUUCACUUGCUGAAUCGGUUGGUGUGCUGCAGAGAAACAGAACAUGGACUGUUGUCAGAAUCAAUGAAGUUGUCACAUAUAAUCAAUAGAACAAAACGAAUUCCAAACAUGUCUCAAACGUCUCCUGAACUUCUCAUGCUCAUCAUGUCUAAACAGAGAGUAUAUGAUGGGCGUAUAUACAGUUCUGAAUCCUUGAGUAAAAAAAUAGCCAUUCUUAAUGGAAACAUAAACAGAAGCAAGCAGCCAAAGGAAAGAUAUCUAGUGAACCAUUAGAGGCAGCAAUUUUUUCAAGUGACCGGUAAAUACUACCAACCGAGGUAACCUUCAGGUUCAAGUUUAUACUACAGGACUAACAGGAGGAAUAAAUGUGCAAAAGAACAAGCAAGCUCUAUUGUAAUUUGGGGUCAGUAAGAAUAUGUAUGUAGAACAAUCUGAUAUACUAGCAACAUGAAGGAAAUAAAGAUCAACAUAGGCAAGCCUUGAUUAAACAUGCUGGUAGUCACAGUUCGUCGACUCUGCUCAACUAUACCAUUGUCCACUACUUCAGUGUUUGCAGUUUGCAAAACCAUGAAAUGACACAUGUAUUGUCUACUACUUCAGUGUUUACACAAUGAAGAUGACCACAACAACAACAACAACAACAACAACAAUUCUGUGAUACUGUGGAAGAAAUAACUGUGCCAAAGAAUACGACAGAUUGCGCUCUGAUCUGAGCAAUAAGUACAUGCAGGGUGAUCUGAUAUAGUGGUCUGAUGAAUAGAAAGAAAUGACGACCAAUAAACCCAAUUGUUUCUAGAAAGAAAAGAUACAAGAGGCCAACACUCCAUGUGACAACGCUUCUAGUCGAAAGUCAUUAGAACAAUAUCAAAUUGUGUGUGCACUGGAUUGUACUAGCAAGUGACUGGAUAAAGACAGGCAGAAAUAAUCAGAUCAGGGCCUCAGGGGCGACCAGAGUGUGUGUGUGUGUGUGUGUGUGUGUGUGUGUGUGUGUGUUAUGGUUCAUUAUCCUCAUUCCCCAAUAGUGUACAGCAAUUUUCACCAUAUAAAAUUCAGUAUAACUAUUAAGUUUGUCCCCACCCCCACCCAAAUGGAUCUGGAAGGAAAUGAAGCACAAUGAACAGUAAUGUCUAUGCUUCUAAAACUCUUCCAUUUCACAUGUUGCUAACCACUAACAAUCGAGUAGUUAAGCUCAAUUACCGCCAACUGCAACAUUUAUAUUCACUGAUUCGAAGUUUUACAGUAACUUAGUAUAGGUAGACCAAAUAACCAUGUCAUGGUGCACAGAAAUACAUAGCAAUCUACAGAGUUCCCCUCCCCAUUUUCUCCAAUCUCCACGGCUCGUCCACAAAUUGAAGAUACCACACCAAUGCGAAAGGAAACAGCUAGGAACACAUUACCACUACAAAUGACGGAUCAACAACACAGGGCUCUAGUGACAAUCCACAAAUGAAUCCAACUAUCGAGCAAACGGAGACCCACAACAGUAAUUAAACAUACAGAGCAUUGAGCAGGAUCACAGACCUUACUGCCCUCCUACACCUCGUCCUCCCAGUCAUCAUCGCUGUCGAAAUCACCAAAUGCAGCCUCCUCACUGCAACAAAAAUUCAGAUAAAACAGAUUGCAAUGCAACAUCACCAACAACGCUAGAACCCCUCGAUCAUGAACACAAACCAGCACAAAUCGAAAGCAAGUGGUGCGCGCUCACCAUUGCUGCAUGUAGUCCGCGCUGCUGCUCCCGACGAGGCGGAGGGUGCGCUUCCCCUCGUUCUUCCUGUACCCGGACAUCGCAAGCGAAGCACCACAGAUCAAAACCAUCAAAACCACCAAAAUAAUCCCCACAAAAUUCACCGUCGCGCGUGCGUUUCAAUUUCCAACCAACACGAGGAAACAAGGAGAGCAGAGCAACGAGAGAGGAACCUGUGGCGUGUGCGGCGGCCAACGAGGGGGCGGCGGUCGAAGGGGGACUUGAAGCGGGUGUAGCGGAGUUCAUCGUCGUAGUAGUAGUCGUAGUCCACCGCCUUGUCCAUCUUCGCGAGGUAGCGCUUGACGUUCUUCACAGCGUAGCCGCCUCCCCCUCUCGCCUCGGACCAGGGGAUCCCGCGCGGGUGGAAACCCUGGGCGACCUCCAGGAAACGGGGGCUCCCGUACCCCCCUGUAGCAGCGAUUGCAGGCAACAAACUGAAAUGCGUGAGUAACAAAUCAACCAAGCAAAAUCCACGAGAAAUCAAACGAAACAGUCAAACCAAAUCCCCGAUAAAGGAGCAAAAAAACCAAAUCCGCGAGUCCGCGAGAAACGAAACAACCAAAUCGAAACGAAAGCACAUUAUGAUGAUCGGAGACGAUCGAGCAGCCGGCAGCGUACUUACAUCUAUAGUACAGCACCAUGGGUGAGGGGAGGAGCGGACUAGGUGCGGAAAACCUAGCCUUCAGAUGCUGGCAAGCCGAAGGCCGAGACGAUGGGUGCGGAAUUGGUCGGCGAGGUGGAAUGGAACGGGAUGCAAGGCGGCGGAGGGGGAGGGGGUUUUAUAGCAGGCGCAGUGCUCUGUUCUGUGUGUGUGUUUGCGGAUGCAGGGGGCAGGAGGAGGUGACGUGGCCUGUACGGAGCAAGAAGACACGGGCUCUCUUGGGGCGUUCUUUCUUCUGAAACAAGACAGAGGAAUACGCGGGAACUUAAGUUGGCAAAUAUUUUGUUGGCUACAAAAUUUAGGCCUUGUUUACUUGUUUAGUGCAUGAAUUUUUUAGGUGUGUAGCACUUUUCGUUUAUAUUUAGCAAUUAUUGUCCAACUAUGGGCUAAUUAGACUUAAAGAUUCGUCUCAUAAAUUACAAGUAAAUUAUGCAAUUAGUUAUUUUUUAUUUAUAUUUAAUGUUCCAUGCAUUCAUCUAAAUAUUCGAUGUGAUGAAGAAUUUUGGAUUUUUUUAGAACUAAAGGCCUUAACAAGAUUCUAUUGAGCAGUAUGUCAUCGAGUAAAAAUGUAUGGCAAGAUUAAUUAGUCAUAGAACAUUGUAAUCGUGAAGCAAAUGGUGUAGCCCAUGAAUUAGCUAGAGUUGCGCUUCAGGAGAAGCUCACAUGUAAUUGGGUCGAUGAACCCCCUAGGUUUCUGCUAGGAGCUUUGGCGAACGAUGUAACUGUCUUGCAAAAUCAAUAAAGUGCGCCAAAUGGCUUUCUCAAAAAAAAAAAACUGUAGCUCUAAAAUUUCUAACCAUAUCUUUUUUAUGUUUUUUUGCACCAGUAUUGCUAGCAUCCAAACGUCCGAUCUGAACGCUAGCGUCAAAGAUGCCAAGCCAUUGUACAAAUAUUGCCCCCACCUGCCCCUCACGGAGAAAGAAAAAAAGAGAAAAGAGUAGAUAUACUCCACCUGCCCCCACACAAAGAUGAAAGAAACUGCCUCCGCUCUCCACACGUACGAGAUCCGCCCGCCCCCAACCUCAUCGUCCCCAGCACCUCCACCCUGCCGCAAGCUCACUCCCACAACCCACCCCAGCCCCCUCCCUCGCUUGGCGCUGCAACAAUAGGAUGAAACGACUGAAACAACAUGAACAUGUUAUUGCAACAACACUGAACAAACUAUUACGACAAAUAAGUUAAACCAGUUGAAACACCAUGAACAUGUUAUGCAAUAACACCGAACAAAGUGCUUCAACAAAUAAGUUGAACCAGUUGAAACACCACGAACAUGUUAUUGCAACAACACCGAACAAACUGCUGUAACAACAUGGAACACCUCCUGCAACACAUCUCAAAGAAGCGAUACUACUACAACAUUGGGAUAAAGAAGUUAAAACUGUAAGAAACAUAUUAUUGCAACAACAAAAGAACUACUACGUAGCCCCGGGAUAAGGGAAAGUAGGGAGGCACAUGGGUUGGGGGCGCCGUCGGAGGUGUAGAUUGAGCCGCCUCCAUGGAUGGGAUGGAGGAUGGGCCGCCAUCGCCUAUUGGGUGGAGGAGACCACCACGCUACUAGAUUUGCAUCGUGCUCCAUGGAUCCACCAUGGGAAGACCAAUACUCCAUGGAUCCACCACGGGAAGGCCACCAUGGCCGAUGUUGAGGUGAGGGACGACGCGCUAGAGUGGAGGACACACACCAGACUCAAGAUAGGUAGAGGACGCCGCCUCCAUUGAGGAGGGAGAUGGGAGGAAGGCACCACACUGAGUUGAGGUCAGAUUUUCAAGAGAGAGAGAGAGGAGUAAAUGAGAGAGCAAACGGAGGUGGAGUAGGCAAGGAGAGCUAUGCGGUGAAUUUUUUGAGAUGAGUGGAUGGGGAGAACCAUAUGCUGUCGACGAAAGCUGAUCGGCAGUCUACCUUGGGGUAUACCCACGGUAGUAGUUUAUCAGUAGACGGUGCGCAAACUACGAACUCGAUGGUGACGCAAGACACGGACAAGCUUUUUAUCCAGGUUCGGCCGCCGAGUUGGCGUAAUACCUACGUCCUGCGUCUGGUUGUAUUGAUUUGUGUUGAGAGAAUCGUAUGUCCUAGGGGGAUCCCUUGCCUCUCCUUAUAUAGUCUGAAGGGCAGGGUUACAGAUCUGGAAACUAAUCCUAGUCGGUUACAAUUGUCAUAGAUAGUUCGAUAUCAAUUCCUAUUCUAACCGACUAGAAUCCUGCUUGAUCUCCACAUCUUGCUUCCUUGCGCGAAACUCCAGGCUGUCGGAUCAAGCCUUGAACUCGUCUCGUAAUGGGCCAAGCCUCCUGGCCCAAGUCUAGCCGUAAGGGUAUAGGGGUCUAUCCCCCCACAGCUAGUCCCCGAGCACCAUGUAUUGUGAUGUAACACGCCGUCUUGAGCUUCUUCGAUCAGUGAGGCUUGACGUCUUCAAUAAGCAGGAAAGUCGUCCAAACAGUUGCAACAGUAUUUUGACCAACUCAAAAAACAGUUGAUCAACAUUGACAUCGAAGAAGCAGGUUGUUUGAAGAAUGCAUGGUGCUCUAAAUUAAAAAAAAUUUCUUUCCUGGUGAAGUGUGCCCACUUUACUUUUCUGAAAAGUAUAGCUUUUCAAAAAGCAAGCACAUUCACCGCAAGGUGAAGUGUGCCCACUUAGUCCCCGAGCCUGGUAGUAGGUGACGUGGGCACGUGGUGCCAGGGUCAAAAGAAAAGUCCUCAAAGAAAUUCUGAAACUGAGAUGCAUCGUCAGAUGCAUCGUACCGAUGUAGUCCCCGAGCUUGCUGGAAGGCGAAGUAUGAGCCUUGUAGCAAGGUCUAAAAAAUUGAAUUUACCAGUCCGUCUGCAAUUGAAUAGACUAAUCGACCAGUCCCCGGGUGUAUAAUAGUAUGACGACCAGUCCCCAAGCACCAAGUGCGCUCCUUAGAAUUCUGCGUUGCUAUACUGUACGACCAGUCCCCGAGCAUCGAGUGCUCGGUGGUCGGUGCAGUCUUUGAAGUUCCGAGCUGAUAGACUGGGCGACCAGUCCCCGAGCGUCAAGUGCUUGGUGGUCGGUACAGUCCCCGAAUUCUCAAAUUGGUGGGCCGGUCGACCAGUCCCCGAGCGUAUAGUGCUCGGUGGUCGGUACAGUCCCCGAGCACGGCGUAGGGACCGGUGGACAAGUCCCCGAGCGUGGUUGGGAACGUAAACGUGCUCGGUGGUCGGCACAGUCUUCGAGCACAGCAUAGAGAGUAGUCGACAAGUCCCCGAGCGUGGUUGGGAACGUAAACGUGCUCGGUGGUCGGAGCAGUCCCCGGGCACAGCGUAGGGAAUAGUCGACGAGUCUCCGAGCGUAGCUUGUCGACUGGGCCAAACUCCUAAAAAAUAAAUAUAAAGAAUUGGUAGUACAUGAUGUAUAAAUAACCUUUAGAUAGAAAAUCAGUGCUAAGAUAAGUUUUAGAUUUUUUGUUAUAAAAUUAGCACGAGUAGUUAAUUCAUCCUAGAGCUUGUACCAGCUCUGGUCUAGCCAACAAUCAGCAUGAGGUGCGGAACCUAGACACGCGUAGGAUUGUCAGCCACGUCAGAGAGCUAUUGCCGACCACCCGGAACGCAGAGGGCGGAUCUCGUGCACGUGUAGGGAGGAGUCGGAGACAGUAUCGGCUCUGGAAAGCUCGUGUAGGAGAAAAAACUAGUCGGCUAAAAAAGUUGUUUUGAAGAAUAAUAAAAAAUAUUAUGCCAAAAAUAAAUAAGAUAUUAGAAGUGUACUUAUCUUUGGAUGAAAGUCUAGUUAGUGACGACAAAAUUGUCCGGCCUUCGAGCUUUUCGACUUGUCAUGGCGGUGGUCGCUGUUGUCGUAGCGUCGUUCUUCGCGGCGAUUAUUAUUGCGACUGGUGGUCAGAGCAAGUAGGCCAAACAAUUUGGUCGAUGGCCCGAGCAGGUCGGUGUUGUCGAUCUGCCUCCCUUUGUAGCAGGGAAGCGGGUGACGCGUUGUCGGCGUGGUCGGAGACGUUGCUGGAGUAGUCGGAGUCGUAGCCAGCGUGGUUGAAGCCGCCGCCGACGUCGAUGAAGAAGUGGUUGGCGCAGAUCGGAUCUACACCUCCUCCGUGGUCAUGGCGGUGAAGUUGUUGAGGCUGACGGUGAACGUGAAGUCGCCCGCCAUGGCCGCGAAGUCGGGGAUGAUGGCCAUCUUGUUCGUCGGGAGAGCUGUACGCACACCCCCUACCUGGCGCGCCACUGUCGACGAAAGCUGGUCGGCAGUCUACCUUGGGGUAUACCCACGGUAGUAGUUUAUCGGUAGACGGUGCGCAAACUACGAACUCGAUGGUGACGCAAGACUCGGACAAGCUUUUUAUCCAGGUUCGGCCGCCGAGUUGGCGUAAUACCUACGUCCUGCGUCUGGUUGUAUUGAUUUGUGUUGAGAGAAUCGUAUAUCCUAGGGGGUCCCUUGCCUCUCCUUAUAUAGUCUGAAGGGCAGGGUUACAGAUCUGGAAACUAAUCCUAGUCGGUUACAAUUGUCAUAGAUAGUUCGAUAUCAAUUCCUAUUCUAACCGACUAGAAUCCUGCUUGAGAUCUCCACAUCUUGCUUCCUUGCGCGAAACUCCAGGCUGUCGGAUCAAGCCUUGAACUCGUCUCGUAAUGGGCCAAGCCUCCUGACCCAAGUCUAGCCGUAAGGGUAUAGAGGUCUAUCCCCCACAUAUGCGGACGGAGAUAAGUGGAUGAGGAGAGCCGCAAGCAGACGGGAGCGGCAGGAGGCCGGGCGCCACGUCCAAAAACGGCCGAACGUCAGAGUCAAAGCAAGAGUCAAACUGUCAAAGCAUUACCGAAUAAAUAUCAAGUAAGGCGUACAGAUAGGCUAACAACACACGAAAUUGAGAAAGUCUCCAAAAGGUCUCUUUUUUCACUGGAAGCGUUAGAGAAAAAUCUGACAUCACGAAAGCAUUUGCAGUGCAGAAUUGGAGUGAGAAAAAAUUAUUACAGGCCAAUGCCUUCCUUGCUUUGCAGAGAUUUCAGAAUUGUAAAAGGUAGUGCCAUGCACUAUGCAGACGUGCAACUACACUAAUCCAACGCCCAGAGCCACAAGAUUACCACGAACUGUAUUACUCUUCACUUGCUGAUUCGGUUGGUGUGCUGCAAAGAAACAGAGCACGUAUUGUUGUCAGAAUCAUUGAAGUUGUCACGCCCACGUAUAAUCAAUAGAACAAAGCCAAUUCGAACUCAAACAUCUACUGAACUUCUGAUGCUCAUCAUGCCUAAAUUAGAUUAGAUAGAUCUAACAGAUAGGAGUGGUCAAUGGCAAAGGAUUCAGAAUUCUUUCACAGCCAACACAUAGUGGAACCGUAUAAGGAAUUAAAACAGCCACCUCAAUGGGUUAAAGAUAGAUGUGUAUUAGGAACUAAAAAAUAGCUAUUCUUAAUGGAAAGACAAAACAGAAGCAUUCAACCAGAGGAAAGAUAUCUAGUGAACCAUUAGAGGCAGUAGUUUUUUCAUGUGAUUAGGUAACCUUCAGGUUCUAGUUUAUACUAGAGGACUAACAGGAGGAAUAAAUGUGCAAAAGAACAAACAAGCUCUGAUGUAUUUCGGGUCAGUAAGAAUAUGUAUGCAGAACCAUUGAUAUGAUAGCAUUAUAGCAACAUGAAGGAAAUAAAGGUCUACAGAGGCAAAGACUUCAUUUAACAUGUUGGUAGUCACAGUUCGUCAACUCUGCUAUGCUAUAUCAGCAGUGUUUGCAGUUUGCACGACCAUGCAAUGACACCUCCACGGCUCCACAGCCUAAGUUGUACACACACACACACAGAAAUUUUCCGCAAAAAAGUUACAAAUGAAGAUAGCCAAAACAACAAUUCUGUAAUGCAGUGGAAGAAAUAACCGUGCAAACAAUUAGGGCAAAAUGCAGUCUGAUCUGAGCAAAAGUACAUUGCAGGGUGAUCUAAUAUAGUGGUAUGAUGAAUAGAAAGGAAAUGAGGACCAAUACACCCAUUUGUUUCUAGAAAGAACAGAUACAAGAGGCCCGAGACUCCAUGUCACACUGCUUCAAGUCAUAAGUCGUCAGACCAAUAUCAAAUUGUGUCAAACUCGAAAAUUAAUGUUCACUAUUUCUAUUUUUCGCACUAAUUUAGCAGUCAGAGACCAAGUAACCAUUAUGUGCUGCACAAGAAUACAUAGUGAUCUCAAUUCGAUACACUUAUAUGUUAGAUUUGUCUGGGUAUUGUCUCCAGUUCAAAUUUCAAACUACCACUGAGAUGCAAAUGCAAAACUGUAAACACAUUCUUGCUCUGAUGACUGAUCAAACACAAAUCUGCAGUUACAGUUAAAAAAUUAGACCUAACUGCUGCCAAAAGUGUAUUUCCGUAUUCAUAGCGGAAAAAAGUCAGAAAAAAAAAUCCAUAAAGACCCAAAAUAAACUAGACUCAAAAUAUGACAAAUUGGUCGUCAUUAUUGUCUAUCUCGAAGUUUGGCACUAGUAUAGCAUACAGACCCAAAAGCCAUAAUGUGUUGGACAAAAGCAAUUGGCGAUAUGCAAAUGUCCCCUGUUCAAUUUCCCCAUGGAUCAUGCACAAUACAAACAACCACACAGAUGGAGCAAAACUUGUAACACACUGUUACUACUGAUCAAACAAGACAAAGUUGUUGAGAGAGGAAAAAAACAAGUAAAACACUCAAGGCUAAGAUCAAGUUCACAACCUUAUGGCCCUCGUACACGUCGUCCUCCCAGUCAUUGAAAUCGCCAAAUACAGCCUCUUCACUGCAAUGGAUGGGCCGUAACAUACAGCAACAUGAACAACAAAAGCUAAAAUCACACGAUCGUCGACACAAAACCGAAACGAGCAAAUCUAAGUGACGCACCAUUGUCGCAUGUAGUCCGGGCUGCUGCUGCCGACGAGGCGGAGGGUGCGCUUUCCCGCGUUCUUCCUGCACGCCGACGGCGCAAACACCACGAAUCAAAACCAUCCAAAUUAGUACCAAAUAAAUCCCCCAAACUUUAUCGCCAAGCGGGCGCUACAAAACCAACAAGCAGGAGCGCAAAGCAUCCAACACAACACACCCGGGGUGCGGACGGCGGCCGAUGAGGGGGCGGCGGUCGAAGGGCGACUUGAAGCGGACGUAGCGGAGGUCGUCGUCGUCGUAGAAGUCGUAAUCCACCGCCCUGUCCAUCUUGGCGAGAUACUUCUUCACCUUCUUCACGGCGACACCAGCUCCACCCCUCGCCUCCGACUUGGGGAUUCCGCGCGGGUGGAGGCCCUGCACGACCUCGAAGAACCCAGCGCUCCCGUAUCCAUCUGCAAACCCCCGCCCGCACACCGAUCAGGGCAAGGUACAAAAUCCGGAGGAACGAGCAACCAAACUAAACUAAAAAGAAAAUUUCCUAAAAGGAAAACCAGAUCAAAAGCACAUUGGGAUGAUCAGAGGCGCUUAUGUAGUGCAGCGUACAUCUCUCGUACGAGGCCAUGGGGGAAGGGGAAGUGGCCGGCUUGGUGCGGAAACCUAGCAGUCGACGCGCGCGAGGUGGGGUGGUUGCGGAAGUGGUCGGCGAGGAAAGAAGCCGCGAGGCGAUCCGUUGCAAGACGGUGUUGCGGUGUUUUCUGACACUGGUGUGGAGGCGGAGGGGUUUUUAGCAGAGUCUUUUGUGGGGAAUUCUUUCUUCCCAGAGAAGACAAGAGACAAGACACAGCCAAAUGCGUCGGAAGCCGAACGGUUUGGGGCUUUGUGGGCUCAAAUAGCCUCUGGGUAAAGGAAGGAAAUGGGUAAAAACAGAUACAGCUGUACAGUAGAUCCCAUGGGCCUAAAUCGGCAUGGGUUGGCCCAAAUCGGGUCAUGUUCAAAGCAACGCACGCGGCUGCCCUGCCUCUGCAUAGGACGCAUCCGCCACUUCUUCCGCAUUUCCUCAAACACUUCGCGCGCCGCCGCCGCCGCCGCCACUCUCCGGCGUCGUCUACUCGGCUCCGUCCCCCCGCCAGGAAGCAGACCACCACCCCAAUCCCUCUCGUCCUUCAGAGAUGCAGAAGGUUCGUCUCAAAUGGGUGAAGAACCGGGGCCUGGACCACCUGAUCGAGCGCACCACCUCCAUCCGCGCGUCCUGCCUGCUGCUCGACCACCUCUCGCGCCUCCCCGGCUCCUCCCCCGUGCCGGCGCGCUCCCUCGCUCGCCUCCAGAAGCCGCUUGGCCUCACGGUGCCUGUGCUUCGCUUCCUUCGCCGCCAUCCCACGCUCUUCUCCGAGCAACCGCACCCUCGGUUCCCCACGCUGCCCUCCUUCUCCCUCACGUCCGCGUCACACACCCUCCUGGCCCGCCUCGCCGAUGCCUCUGCGCACGACGCGCACCUCCGCCUCGCGCGCCUCCUCCUCCUCACCCGCUCCAGGUCGCUCCCGCUCGCCUCCGUGCUCCCGCUCCGCUUCGACCUCGGCCUGCCGUUCAACUUCGCCGCCGCGUUUCCGGCCUCCCACCCCGGUGUCUUCGCCGUCGCCAACAACCGCAUCUCCCUACGGUCCGCCUCCGGCCUACCCGAAGACAUCGCCGUCUCCUCCCUCCAACGCCGUCACGCCGCGGCAAUCGACUCCGCGACCUACCGCGCGCUGUCCCGGCCGCCGUCCUCUUCGAGCGCUCCGCUCGCGUUCCCGAUGCGAUUCCCGCGGGGGUACGGCGGGAUGAAGAAGGUCAAGGCCUGGAUGGAUGAGUUCCACCGCCUUCCCUACAUCUCGCCGUACGACGACGCGUCAGGGGUCGACCCUGAGAGCGACAUUUACGAGAAGAGGAACAUCGGCUUGCUACAUGAGCUGCUCGGGCUAACGGUGCACAAGAUGGUGCGGAGGAACGCCAUCCGGCUUCUUCGGGAGGAGCUGGGCCUGCCACACAGGUUCACUAGGCUGUUCACGCGGUACCCUGGGGUGUUCUACCUGUCGUUGAAGUGCAAGACAACGACUGUGGUGCUUCGUGAGGGGUACGAGAGAGGGAAGCUCGUGGAGCACCAUCCCCUGGCUGCUGUGAGGGACAAGGUGCAUUAUGUGAUGCGCACUGGAGUGCUGUACCGCGGAAAGGGUUUGUCCAAGCUUGUUCUGGAUGAGGAUGGCACUGAGGAAGAGGGUGCACUGAAUGAGGAGGAAUUUGAAGGGGAGGGAAUGGACGAGGAUGCUGAUGUUGAGUGCUUCGGAAUGGAGAUUGUGGAUGACGAUGGGCCUGUUGGUGAUGUGGAUGAUGAAGGUGAUAGUGAUGGCUGACAUGGAUUGACGAUUCUUGCCUUCUUGAUUUAUGUUUUGCAAUUGUGUCUUCAGUCAUGAGUUACAGUGACUGUGGGUUUGAUUCAACUUAUUAGUGGCUCCAAAUGAGAAGUUCAGCAAGUUAUUGUAGAUUGUAUCAUGCUCUGUUAAUACUUUGAUAUAUGCUACAUUCAUCUGCUUAAGAAGUAGCAAGCUAAAUUUAAUAUGUAGCUCUUGGUUGGAGAGUUAGAGCAUUGUUUAUGGUUCUGUAUAUAGCAUGGGGGCCCAAUACUUCUAUAUAUCAAUUUUUAUGAAAUUUGAGGUACACACAAAAUCGAAUGGGAAAUAUCUCAGCCUUUUUUUAUUAGCUAAAGUGCAGUCUCUUAUAAUAAGGUAAUUUUCAUUGCCAAUUGUCUUGCUACCAUUCUAGAGAUUGCAUUUGUUUCAUAAGUUUAUGCUUUACAGGAUUUUUCUGAUAUUCCAUAGGAUAAAACCUUUAAUUCUGUAGAUGACUCUUAGUUGCCAUCUAGUGCUUGAGUUACCUUCACCUUUAAUCAUUUAUUGGGGUGUUCAGCCAGAAAUAGCUGAAUCCAAAAUAUAAGGAAGUGUAAUUCUGACCUGUAUCAUCAAAAGAUUCUCAUAUCACUGUACCCCUGGCUUAUGGGGCUUAUGUGUUGGAGUUUUUGGGAGAUGCUUAACCUUCGUUACAAAGACACCAUGUAUCUAGGUAAAUAGAAGUCUUCAUGUUAUUUUUCUAGCUUCACCCCUGUUUAUUUAAGCAUGCCGCCACAGCUUGUUCACUUCAGUGUUUAAAUCAAGUCAAGCACACAUUUUGGCGUUAGAUGUUCUCUCCAAGGUGACAAAUCGGUUGGUGAAAAGUUGGGGCAAGAUUGGAGAUAAACUGCUCUUUUAACUUCUAGAUGUCAUUUGGGAAAAAGAUAUUUGGAUCAUUUCAGGUAAUUGAAAAGGCCUCACUGUCCUAACCUCUAUAUAGGCUCUGAGCCUCUCACAGUCUCACCAAUGAUGGUCAUGGGUGUGGUAAUUCGCAAAAUUGCUGACCAUUGGUCCUCACAUCAUUCCAGCUAACUAUCAUGUUGUUGACUCAGGAACCCUUGCAAUCCUCAUAGCGAUUUUUGGAAGACAGUGGAAUCAAAUUUGUGAUGUGCACAUAUUGAAUUUCGUGUUCUACGGUUCUCUGAUUUCAUUUGUGCCCUUUCUGAUUUUAAAUUGCGCCGGUCACGUUCUUUUAGUAACAUUAAGUAUGAAAUACCAACAGUUUUACUCUACGUUCGACCUAAUGUUGGAUGCCAGCCUCUUUUGAAAAAUCCUGGAAAGUGUCUCACUGUUCAGACUUCCAAGUCACUUGCAUGUGCAGCUAGAAAACCAUGUGAAUAUGCUCUUGUGCCUCAAAUCAAUGCAGUUGAUUUUGUUCUGCAAGCCUGUAAUAGACUUAACUUUACAAACUGCAAUAUGUGUGAUUAACCAGGAAAAACAGCUUAUCAGCACCUUUUCUUCAUUAAACCAAAAUCUGUUGGUACUCUGUUUUAAUGCAUGUGUAUACUUGUAUAUGCCUUUCUUGAGUUCAUACAUUUUGAAAAAAAAGCACAGACAGGGGCGGAGGGAGGGGUCAAAACCUCCCUAUGCUAGGUUUACCCCUCUUACAUGAUAUCAUUCUGUUGAACCUAGUGCGGCUGUCCAUGAUUUAUGGUAUUAUUUAUCUUAGCAAUCCAUUUGUAAUAUACAAUUUACUACUUAUUUGAACCACGGUGCACAGGUGGUGAUUGGUGAAGUUCAUUUGAUUAUUAGCUGGUGCACCAGGAUUUUAAACAGCAGCUACUUUUCACAAAGAACCUUCUCUAUGAAGUUUCAUUGUUUGUGCUACUGCUUGUCUCCUAAGAUGACAGGUUAUGUGGUUUGCAUACCGUCUUAUUCCUUCUUUUGCUCAUAUUUACUUAUGCAGACCAACUAUGUUGCAGGAUUCGUUUCUGGAGGGAUUACAGAUUACUAUCAUGGUAGAAGUAGCAGCACACACCAUCUUUGAGGUAUUGGUUUUGCAUUUAGCUAGUGAUAUUAAAUUCAUGAUAGGUGCCAGUAGCCUCUCCAUUUAUUUCAUUUUCUUUUUAGAGUUAUUGGUCCCUGAGAUUCGUGUGUAAUUUGUUCUAGAUUUAUUUUGCUGCUUUCAUUACUUAAUUACUGACUCUGUAUUCUCCAACAUGCCAAAUGCCAUGUUUUUUAUGCCCCUUAUAAAACUGAAAUCUCACCUUUUUCUGCAGAAAACUCUAGCCAGCCUAGUAUAUCAGAUAAACAAGUCAUUCACUAAGUUUCCUUUUGUGUGUGUUUAUGUGUGAUGUGUGAAGCUGCACGGCAGAUCUAGAGGUUGCAACUCCUGCCUACCGGGCAAGAGCACUAGAGCAGCCAUGAUGAACUGUGAAGCAAAUAAGGCACAUUCAGGCUAAAGUUUCUCUUGGCAUGUCAUGGUAGCUGCGAAGGCCGCAGCUGAACCCCCUAUAGCCUCACGUUCCCACAGCCUUUUUAUCAGGCUAAAGUAGCUUGGCAUCAUAGGAGAGAUGAGAUGGGAUGCAUGCCCCAGAAGACCAGAAUUGGACCCUGCGCUUUCCUGGAUUCCAAUGCCCAGAUGGAUGGAGGGCCAGGGAAGAGGGAACAACCGGAAAAGGAGGAAGCCAAUUUGUUACUCGGGUAGACAUACUCUAUGCCAAUUUGCCACGAACUUUGUCAAAAAGAAUCAGCCACUGAGGGGGCCACUGGUUGUUGCUUGAGUAGGGGUAAUCCCAAUGCCUCAUUCUAGCUUAACUAGUGGGGACAGCUGAUAUUAGAAUGCAAAGCUAAUCAUUACAUCAUGCCUCCUCCCUGAUGAUGAUCCUUGCCUUUUGCGCCCAGCCUUUUUCUACUGUUUCACAGCAUGCAUCAUAUUGCCUAGGGCAGAGAACAUAUUGGGAUAGAAUGAAAUUAUGCCGAAAUGAAAUAUUCAGCAGUAUAUAUAUCAUGAAACUCUGACCUAAACUAGUGAAGUGACUAAUAAAGCUAAACCAUAGUCCAGAAUAUGUUUAUAUGAUCAGUUAUGGAUCCAGAAUGAUUGCUCCUCUUCUUUUUAUUCGUGCAUAAAAAUUGUUGGGAGGGCCCUCCCAGCCCCCACGCAAGAUCUACCCUGAAUAUGAUAUGAUACUAUUUAGCAAAAAUUUCAACCAUAGUUUAUAUUUCCGAAGCUGUACCUGAACAUAGCAAAUUUUUAAGCCUGCUGGCAUGAACUUCGAAGGAUAGAGGCAUAGAUCAAUCUCCAAUCUGAUGCAUUACACUGACAAAAAAAAAUUCCAGCUCUGCUUUCCUGUAUAGUCACAUGAAAACCAGGAGCUAUCAUUCGCACCACGUCUGAUCAUGAAACUGAAGGUGCAGGUGUGCAGGGGGUGCUUGGAAACUGCCACUGGAAAUCUGAUUGCAGAAUUGGGCAGUGUGGAGGCAUGACUGCAUGAGAAUCCUAUACGAGCAUGAUACCUGCUAAUUGCAUGCACACACAGUGGGUUGUUACCCAGGAUUUCAGGUCAGUGAUUUGUUUCUGGUCGUCUUGGAUGUUUCUCCCUUCUUUUUCCUGCCCGUUCUUGUUUUUGACUUGUCUCCGCCGGCAGUAUGUCAGAUCUAGUUCAAAUCAGGGCACUCGUCACCUCAGCUUACCUCUAAAUGCAGUCCCAAUUAUAUUUAUGAUUCUGUACUGUAAGUGGCUGCAGACUCGGCAUCUCAUGUCAUUGUGGAUGAGCUAGUGGGUUUAUUGCCGUCACCUGGCUGGAUUAUUUGGCUUAUCACAGGGGUCUGGAAGCAGUUUUCGUUGGUCCACUGACAAAAAAUAGAUUUCUGCAAAUUGGAGCUGGCUGUUUUCUCUGCAAACAACUUGAUUACGACUUUUUUGGUGGAGAUGAAGGUCGGAUUAUUAAUAAUCACUUUGGUGUUUGGCACGGCUAUGGCUUUGCUAAAACGGCUCCGGCUUCUUUACUUUUUAUUUAAAAACGGGUUUUUCAGAAAAACAUUUGGCAGGGCUCAUAAGGAAUCGGAGCCGAAAAGAAGCUUUGUCAAACAGGCCAUUAGAAGCAACAAGUGGAUUCAGUUGACGAGUUAUCAUGCCACUUUUCAUGUGCUUUAACAGAUAAUCGUUUCAUAAUCUUGGUUAAAUAAACUCUCGACUUUUCGUGGUGGUUGUUUAAUUCUAUCGCAUUGCUCCACUCCAUCCACUGUCUGUCUGUCCAUCAUCUCAGUCGUUACCUGAUUCUCUCGAAUUACUUUUGUGAAGGGGCAAGUAAUACAGCGACACAUGAGAGGGGUGGGUGAUGGAUCAAAAGGAAUCCUGCGGGGAAGCCUAAUUGUUGCGGUCAACAGACAAAACCCGUCUCAAAAGCAGGACGGGUACGGUGCCAUAUCAUCAUCAUAUGGUCCUGCAGAGGGAGGGGAUGGGGUCAUUAGUCUGUCUCCAAUAGGAGACCCAUUUGGGAACCCAAACCCAAAAUAGGUUUCCAAUACAAUACCUAUAGCCUCUAACAGAGUACCUAUACAGAAGACCUAUUUUGGGUAUCAGGAGAGCCAUAACCCAAAUUUGGGUAUUCUCUCUCCUCGACACCCAUUUGCAGAGAGUGUUGUCUUUUAGGUCUUGUUGUUGGAGAAGACUAAAAAUAGGUAUGAAACCUUUUACCUGUAGCGCUACCCAAAGGACAAAUGGAUCUUGUAUUUUGGGUGAGCAUUUUGGAGAUAGUCUUAGGGAGGGGCACGGGAGAAGAAAAGGAUGGCAAAAGGAGUAGGACAGGACGGCCUACGCCGGGUGAGUUGACGACUUGUCUUGUUGUCGUCCUUCCUCCUCGCAACGCAACCACUAGUCCUGCGCCUGGGCAUCACGGGCGCACCUUAUCGUAUCCAAAGCCACCUAUGUGCCGUAGAUCCUUUGAUUAUACUCUGCUAAUUGCGAUCGCUAAAAAGAUGCCGAGGAGCAUCAUGCGCACUUGGUACCGCCGGCACAUCCCAAACAGACGCCACUGGUUUUCACUUUUCAGGAUGUGACAUGUGCUAUACGGUUUUCAUUCUGAAGCUGUAGAUACAUCCAUAGGAGUGUACAUAUGAAACCACCCUAUAAUUCUGCAGUAGAAGAUCGUGAAAAAAAAAUGCAUUUGGAACCUAUAGUUAAUUAUCUGGGGAUUGAAUUAUCGCUCCAUUUUGCUCUGCAGUCUGCCUAAUAGCCUAAUAAUAAAGAUUCAGGGACCUUUUGCUCGCUAAAGUUGCACGAUAACCAUAACCAUGAUUAAAGUGCGGGCAGGCGAUUAGGCGUUAUAAACGGCACCCAUCACUCGGGUGUGGUCUGGUCAGGGGCACGCUCGUUUCUUUGUGUGAUUGGGACAUUGGGUCGCAGCGCGGCAGCGCCAACGCCAACGCCCCCAAGAACAAGAAGUGAUGUUGACAGAUGGGUCCCCUGUAGCCCGAAAGGGUUGCAGCGUGGUCCAGAGCCCCGGGCCCAAACGUCUUCCAAUGGUCCUAAUUAAUUCUCUUUCGGUGAGAAUUAACUUUAACUAGGUAGUGUACUCUGCUAUGAGACAAUUAAAUUUAUAGAAAAAUACAUAAAUCACAUAAUAAAAUAAUAAUACUGUAAAAUUAAAUAUUAUUAUUAAAGUAAUAUUUAAUCUAAAAAGUAAAAUGUGUAAAACUAACACAGUCACAUUGAACAAUAUAAUAUCAUAGAAAUUUUAAUUGCAACAUGUGCUAUACAGUUACUAAAAAAAUGAAUCCUUGAACAUGAUGAGAUUAUCAUCCCACCAUCAGUGUCGUUUCACUCUUGUUGACAUCGGUUGUCUUAGCUUGUCUACAUGCUACACGAGAAGCUAAGCGAUGCAGAGACUGUCGACCUCAGAGAGCAAUGGCCAAUAGGCCAACGGAUGCACAGGUCAACACUAUGUCCAUUCAACUUCUAUUUCCCCUAACAGGUUUUGUAUUUUAAAAAGUAUUUUUAGAGGAAUUAUUAUCUCACAAUGUUAUGUAAUUGGACCUUGGAGACAAUAGUAUGAUCCCUAACAUAUAAUGCACCUCCAACGCAUAACUCAAAGCAUCCAAGAUACAUUGAACUAGAUGAAUUUCCUACGUGUUUUGUUGCUAAAACAGAGAUGUCAACGGGAAAUUCCCCGUCGGGGAGUGCUUCCCCGUCCCUGUGGGGAAGAAACUUCCCCCAUCCCCGUCUCCGCGAAAUGUCACGGGGGAGAUCUUCUCCCCAUCCCCAUCCCCGUGGGGUUCCCCGUAUCCGCGUUAGUGAACCCCGACGGGGACAACUUUCGCCCCGUUUAAAUCCCCAUGGGGGCAAAAAUCUAUACCAUCCCCGUCCUCUAAUAGAUGAAUUCCCCGCGGGGAAUCGGGGAACGGGGCCCCGUUGACAUCCCUAUGCUAGAAUCUAAAAGAUCACUCUGGUUCCACUUGAUUCUUCGAUGGUUGUCCAGCCCAUUCAUCAUUUUUCUAGCUUCACGUAUGGUAUAUAAAGGGGCUUCUUUACAGUCAUAAAUUUAGGUGGAAUGGUUUGAUGAUCACUCAUCAACCUUGACGCUAUGGGAGGAAGUUCACGAUCUUACGAGGCGAUUUCCAUCCAUUGUUGCUUGGGGACAACCAACUUUUCGAGUGAGGGGCAAUGUCAAGGCCACAAAGGAGAGGACAAGAAGGAUCAAGAGUAUCAUUACACAUUUGGCAACAAAGCAAAUGACAUCAAUCAAGGUGGGGUAAUAUUGACAGCUAAGCCGUAAUUGUGUGAGUUAGUGGUGAGUUAACAAGUGUUAUGGUAAGAAUUGGCCUGAUAUAUAACAUUUGAGGUCAUUGUGUCUUGUAACGAAGAAUUGAAACUCUAAAAUUUGAAAGAAAUCUAUCUCUAUUCUUCGUCCCCAAUUUUGCUUCUUUUCCUAAAUCUCCAAUUCUCAAGCUAUCUAUCUAAUAUGUUGCGAAACCAUAAGGCCAGUCUCAAUGGGAGUUUCAUGUGAGUUUUAUUUGCAUUAAAUAGGUUGCCACAUAGGCUGUUUUGAUGACAUGACAGUGUAUUUAAGAAGAGAGAGAAGAAAUAGGUUUCAUCUAGAUGAAACUCUCUUGGCACGAUUACCAACUCUCUAUGAGUUUUGGAAUUAAAUGCUUAUGAAACUAUAAAAUGAAACUCUCCAUUGAGAGUGGGUGUUUCAUUCAAGUUUCAUUUUAUUUCAUAUGACACGACAGUCUUGAAAACAAUACCAUGAAACUCUUCACUGAGAUUGGCCUAACAAGAGCCUAGGAAGCCUAUAGACGUCGGUCGAGGUUUAGAAUUAGUCUUCUAAGGAAUUUAAUUAUAAAUACAUGGAAUCAAUAGAAGAUAAUAGAGCCAAUGUAGAUUUAAAAAAUUAUCUUAUUUUAGUUAUAUAUAUAUCGAUUAUAUAGGUAUUAAUCUGUCAAAAAAUAUUAAAAAGAAAAAAGAAAUAGAAUUUGCUAAAAAAAAGAAAAGAGAAAAAGAAUGGUAUGUGUUUUCAAAAAAAAAGAAUGGUAUGCGCUUUUAUUUAGGGGCCCGGUAACCCACGCACCGCCGCAUAGUCUUCUGCUCGGCAGCGCCGAGAUCUUCUGCUCCUUCCCCACUCCCAGGCUCGGCUGCGGCGUCGGCGGCUCCCCCUCCCGCCUCUCGCCACUCGCCUCCGUCCUCCGCGCACCUGCCGGCGACCCUGUGUACGCACCUCCCUCUUCCCUCCCGCCUCUGCUGUACCGUGGGAGCCCGGCCUGCUGCCCAGUGUGGCCGGGCCUUGGCUCCGCCGGUGCUUGGUGGCGCCCAGAAUUAGCGUGGAAGCAGGUUCGAUUCUUGGAACUCUUUGGAUUGAAGGGAAAGUUUGGUUUUCUUCGUCUCUUUACUCCUCGUCCUUUAAAAUAGACAAUGAAAUCCUUGCGGUUCUUGUAGGGUGGAGUGCUGUCUGGGCAGAAAUCUGCUCACCGGGUGCCAGGAAACAGGCGGUUGGAGAUAAUUGUUUGGGGGAUUCGUCAAGAAAAGACCCAGUAGGUGGUUGCGCACUUGUUAUGCUGAGACUGAAUGGAGGCUGUAGACAAGAUUGCUGAGCCCAAAGACCCUUUCGUGCUCACUUCUCAGAAGGUUCAGAGCUUAGAGCCACCGAUACCGAUAAAGGCGUCAUGGAAAGGGAAGUACUCCCAGGAGCAAGAAGAGAAGGAUCUGCCAGCUGAUGGCGAAGAGAGCUUCCGGAGCCUGGAUUCCUCUGAUGAAGGUGGCCGGAGCUCCUUCUCUGGAGCUAGUCACCCUCCAGAGCCAAUUGAUAUGGAUAUCAUGAAGACGGUCUAUGUCGCAAUCGACGAGGAGAAGUCUGAGCCACCGGUUUGUUUAGUGCGAGGAGUCUCGGUGAAGGGGCCUUUCAUAGAUGACCUCUCGAUCCGUGUUGCAGGCACAAAGGCAAAUCUGUUGGUAGGCGCAGGCGGUGCUGAAGGCAUGGCUGAAGAGAGGAAGGUAUCUGCUUCUGCAGUGGCAUCAGUCGCCACAGCACGCUCAUCUCAGGCUACCUCUUUGCCUCAGGACUCAGAGGAGAAGGAGUGCGUCUGGGACGCUUCACUCCCUCCCAGUGGCAAUGUUAGCCCUCACAGUAGCAUUGACAGCAUGGGUGUGGUCACUGCCAUGAGCACCCUCCACAGCUGUGCGAGCACAUAUAAAAGUGAAGCCAUAGCUGGUGAAGCAAUGCUCAAUGUGGAGAGGAACUGUGAGAGUGUAAAGGGUGUUCGAGGUGACUUACUAGAAAGUGCAAAAACUAGCAUGAGUCGAGCAAGUGAUAGCAGUGGUGUUAGCGAUGACAGCAGCUGGAGCCACAUCACUGGAGGUGCCAGCAAGCCUCACAAGGGGAAUGAUCCUAGAUGGAAGGCAAUUCAUGCUGUACGGACUCGUGAUAGUGUUCUUGGAAUGAGCCAUUUUAGACUACUAAAGCGUCUUGGUUGUGGUGACAUUGGCAGUGUUUACCUCUCAGAAUUAAGUGGAACUCGGUGCUACUUUGCAAUGAAGGUAAUGGACAAGGCAUCCUUGGCAAGUAGGAAGAAGUUAAAUAGGGCUCAAACUGAAAGGGAGAUUCUACAGCUUCUCGACCACCCAUUCCUCCCAACGUUGUAUACACAUUUUGAAACCGACAGGUUCUCUUGUUUGGUGAUGGAAUUCUGUCCGGGUGGUGAUCUGCAUACUUUGCGACAGAGACAACCUGGAAAGCAUUUCUCUGAGUAUGCUGCAAGGUAAUCUAUAUUGAACACUACUAUUCUUCAGAGAAAUGUAAUUUGUUUGGAGUAGAGUAGAUGAUUUCUCAAGUUGUAUUCCAUAUGACUGAAUGCCUAUUAUCAUAUUAUAUUCACAUUCACCUGCGGAAAGAAAAUUCUAUUCACAUUUGGGGAUAUUGUUAAUUUAAUUUACUACUAGUUUAAUUGACAAGGUGAUCUAAUGUUACUAUCAUAGUUUAUUGGGCUUUUUAUGGAGAAUCUAAGCAUCAGUUUUAUUGGCCUUUUUGUGAAGAAUCUAACUUUGUUCAGAUAUGAUCUCUACAAAUUCCCGAAUAGAGUCUAAUAGCUUUUAUGAGUGAUGUGUCGGAACAAAGUGCAUGUGGUUAGGUAUCCUAAAAUGUUUCCUGCAUUAGUGGAGUAAAAUUUAUACAGCAGGGCCCAUGUGAUGAGUAGCAUGAAGUAAGAGAGAUAUUAGGCCAUGAUAGAUUGUAGCUUUGUUUCAUAAUUCAACAGUAGUUAGGCAAGCAGUAACAUGGAUUGCCCUGAUUCUGUGCAGGUUUUAUGCCGCUGAAGUACUUCUAGCUCUGGAGUAUCUACACAUGUUGGGAGUCGUCUACAGAGAUCUGAAACCAGAAAAUGUUCUUGUGCGCGAUGAUGGGCACAUAAUGCUUUCAGAUUUUGACCUCUCGCUGAGAUGUGCAGUCUCACCUACACUCAUCAGAACAUCAGCUUUUGAUUCUGAUCCCAGAAGAGCAGGUGGUUCUUUCUGUGUACAGCCUGCUUGCAUGGAACCUACUUCAGCUUGUAUUCAGCCUGCGUGCUUCCUGCCCAAAUUCUUCGGUCAGAAGAGCAAGAAGAAGACUAGAAAGGCAAGGUCUGAGCUGGGACAGAAUGCUGGCACCCUGCCUGAGCUUGUUGCCGAGCCAACAUCAGCCCGAUCGAUGUCAUUCGUCGGGACUCAUGAAUACUUAGCCCCUGAAAUCAUCAAGGGUGAAGGGCAUGGAAGCGCCGUCGACUGGUGGACCUUCGGCAUCUUCCUCCACGAGCUGCUGUACGGCAAAACCCCAUUCAAGGGGUCAGGGAACCGCGCCACUCUGUUCAACGUGGUCGGUCAGCAACUGAAAUUUCCAGAGUCGCCGUCCACGAGCUACUCAAGCAGAGAUCUCAUCAGGGGGCUCCUGGUCAAGGAACCGCAGAGCCGCCUCGGCGUGAAGCGGGGAGCGACGGAGAUCAAGCAGCACCCCUUCUUUGAGGGCGUGAACUGGGCUCUCAUCCGGUGCAGCACCCCUCCCGAGGUCCCCAGGCCCGUCGAGGCCGAGCUGCCUGUGAAGUACGGCGUGGCGGAGGCGAUCGGGAGCAACAGCAAGAGGAUAGCCGGAGCAGACGUGAAGUCCGGCGGGAAAUACCUCGACUUCGAGUUCUUUUAGAGUAUAUAGUGCCCAGUGGCAGCCUAUUGUUUGCAUACUGUCCGUGUAUGUGGCCAGUUUGAUGUUGUGUGAUUCGAUGUGGUGCUUUGGUGUCUCACCGUCGAUGCAAAAUUCUCAGAUCUGAAUCGACCAAAAAUUAGAUAGAUCUGUCAUCUGUUUGCCACUUGCCUGCUUUGGCGCAUUUCGAGUUGUAGCAGACCUGAAAGCAGUGAGUGUGGCAAAAAAAUUCUCAUGAUCAAACAGAUGAGAAGGCGCUUUCCUACUUGUUGCAAUGCACCCGUUGCCUUGGACCCUUGAUGAGUCCGGGACCGUGGGUGGCCCAGGACCGACCGGCGCUGUGCGAUGCGCCCGCUUCGCGUGAGCUCGCCGCCGCGACACGCUUGCUCUUGCCUUGCCCGUGUUCCAUGGCUGUGUGCAGGACCAGACGACGUUUGGUGCUGUGGGAAGGAGCGGUGCGGCGUGACCGGCCGAGCUGUGCUGUUGGCGUCGCGACCAGUUGCUGUCUCGCCCACCGAUGGCAUUGAUAGCCGAUCACGCGAGAUGUCAUUGUCAUCCACCACGGGCGGAAUGCCGUUGUGCAGGCGCAGGGCAAUUUAGGGUGGAUUGCCGCCGGCGACAGUAACUUCGUUACCUAAACAAGUCUCUAUUCUAAAUCUAGAGAUUUGAUGUAAAAAAAUCAACUUCAACCCACCUCUUACUUGGCCUCCCAUUUUCCAUGCCCUUCCAAAUUAUAGUUUUAGCCCCUCACAUCUAGAACCCCUAUCCAGUGGGUCCCACCCACAUUUCUCUCCCCACCUAUAAAUCAAGACAAGAAUGGUUCCACCCACAUUCCUCUUCCCACUCAUAGAUCAAGACAAGAAUUAUAAAUGGUGGAGUUGAUGGAGGAUUUGUCAAUGACAGAUGGGCCCCAUAUGAAAUAAGGACUUGGUUUGUUUUUUUCAUUGGAGUUGGAUCUUAAUUUGGGCCAUUACUUUUUUUAUCAUAGCCUGUAAAUAAAAAUUUAAGGGUUUAAUUUAGAGACUUGGCUGAAGUGAAAACAGACUCCACGCCAUGGAAGAAUCAUCGGGUGCUGCCGGCGCGUGAGAAUCACGUGUCGGGUCUGUUGAGGAAGAACGUCUCUAUAAUUCCGUAUGAAUCGGAUCGGACGCUAUCAUUUGAAAUUCAUAGCGUGGCGAAAUUCGCAACAUUCAUUCAUCAGUAACAAAAAAAAUCGUGUUUUUCUAAAUACUACAUACAUAAUACAAUAACCGAAAGUCUGAGUUGUCAUUUGCGCACAUUUCGAGGGACUAAAGACAAAGUGCAUUUGGAAAUUGAAACAAACAAACUAGCAACCGAAGCGUACAGAGGGCCAAAGCCCAAAGCCAAAUACGCCCGAUUCGCCGCAUCGCAGAAACAUAGGACGCAACCUCGCAAAAUCGCCGCCGCCAGCACCUACUCCUCCACCGGACGCCGAUAGCUCCGCCUUCCCUUCCUCCGGCGCGCCAGUCGCCAUGGUGAAGCGGUGGCUCCCCCUCGAGGCCAAUCCCGACGUCAUGAACCAGGUACACCCAUCCCCUCGUCUGUGUUCCGAGUUCUGUACUUCAAGGCUCGUUCCGACUCGGCCCCUUGGUUGGUCUUCUUCGCUCACGGCGCCCUUUCCUGCACGAUCGGUGUAGUUCAUGUGGGGACUGGGGGUCCCCGAGGACGUGGGGUUCUGCGAUGUGUACGGCCUCGAUGACGAGUUGCUCGCCAUGGUGCCCCAGCCGGUGCUCGCAGUCAUACUUCUCUACCCUCAGGUGAUUCUCGAUUCAUGGCUGGCGCCCUACAUUCAUUCAUUGGUUUGGUCGUUGCUUGAACCGCUUUGUGGAUGAGCUCACAUUUUACCGCGUUUUGUUGGGCAGGACCGGAUCAAGGAAUCCCAAGCUUCAGCUACCUCGUCGGUGGAGACCAAGGUGAGACUGAAGUCGGGUUGCUUGCUAGUAUUGUUCCAAAGCAGUCUGUUCCAUUGAAUAGAUAUACAUUGUUACUUCUCAUUGUAGAUGCAGCGAAACUGAUGCAGUAGUUUUUCAAACUUAUAGAUUGGAUUGGAAAUUGUUUGUCUAAUUUUGCUAAUUUUGUUUGUUGGUGAACAUUGCUGCAUUAGAUCUAGCAAACCCUUAGUUAUUUUUCAAAGUCACGUUAUGAAUAGGCUACUUACAUUAUUCUUCGAAUAUAAGCUCUUGAGGUUUGGUUUUAUAGAGCCCACUGUCUGUUUCUUCUAGUAAACAUGCUAAUUUUAUCUUCAAGUGAUGGUUGAUUCCUAUCAAAUGAUAACUUGAAGUAUUUAUACAUAUAGUGUACGUCUCACUAGUGAUGCUUUAUUAGCACAUAAAUCAAAUGUCUCAGUUAUGUUGUUAAUUUGUAUCUUUUCAUCAAGAUGUAAAGCUCAAUUCAAUUUCAUAUAGCAUUGAAUUAAAUCAAAGGUUGUUACUGGACUUAUUGCUACUUUAACUGUCAAGAGUAUAUAGGUGUAUCCUUCUUUACUCAUUAGUCCUGAAACUAAAUUAUGCAGGAGCCCAGCAAGAAUGUAUAUUUCACAAAACAAACUGUUGGGAACGCCUGUGGCACAGUUGGUAUUAUUCAUGCACUGGGGAAUGCUACUUCCAGAAUCAAGCUAGGUACUUUCUUUUUUUUUUCUCAGUACUUUUGAACUCUUAGGCCUUGUUCAGUUGGCAAAAAUUUUGGUUUUUGGCUACUGUAGCACUUUCGUUUUUAUUUGACAAACAUUGUCUAAUCAUAGAGUAGUUAGGCUCAAAAGAUUCAUCUCACAAAUUACAGGUAAACUGUGCAAUUAGUUUUUAUUUUUGUUUAUAUUUAAUGCUCCAUGCAUGCGACCAAAGAUUCGAUGUGACGGGGAAUCUUGAAAUUUUUUACGAACGAAACUUUUCAUCUACAGUAUUUUGAUGCCUUUUGAUUAAACUGAAAACAUAUGCUAAUAUUAAUUACUCUAGGCAAUCCACACUACUCUAUUUCCAGUCUGCCUGCGAAAGACAUAGCAAGUUUCAGCCCAUUUUGUCACCAACAGUAAUUUUCAUUAUCUAAAAACCAAAAAAUAAUCUGCAUGAUCCUCUGAGAAUUUCAUAUGGUUCCCUAAAAAAAUUAGCCUAGCUAUCUUCCACUUGUGAAAUCUUAUUAACCUUUUUUCUUUGCAGCUGAGGGGUCAUAUUUCGAUAGAUUUUAUAAACGAACUGCUGACAUGGAUCCUAGCCAGGUUAGUGAUCGAUGUUGCAAUUCAAAUGCUUUCAUAUUGUUGGCUUCCUUCAUAUGCUGAACUAACUUAUUAAGUGGGUGAUAUUUUCAGCGUGCUACAUUUCUUGAGGAGGACGAGGAAAUGGAGAAUGCUCAUUCCAUUACCGCUACUGCUGGUGACACAGAGGUUAUUAUAUUUAUGGAUGUUAUUCUUUUGAUGAAAUGUAUGCAGGUUAUUCUUUUUUUUUUUGUCAGUGCUUCACAGAAUCAAAGUGAUCUGCAGUUACCAGUAUCUGAGAACUGACUUCUAAUACUUGUUUACUCAUCUAGAAAAGAACAGUUUGCUGACCAGCUAGAGUUACAGGUUCCUAGCAAGUUUGAAAUCUGUCUGCUAGUAGUAUAUGCCCCUUUACUCUUGCCAUUGCAUUUUGUCUGCCUGAGUAUUUGAGAUUUGUGUUGGAAUUUUUUGCUCACGUGUCAUUGUAAGUGAGAACUGGACAUCUCAAUUCACAAUAUCAGUUGUAACAGUUGUUAUUAAAGAACUGAAUCAAGUCAAUUAGUUGAAACUAUGGUCUGGGCUUAUCUUAUCUUUGAUUACUAUCAGACACUGAUGGAUCCUAUUUUACUAUGCAGGCCAAGGAUGGAGUAAUUGAACAUUACAUUUGUUUCUCUUGCGUCGAUGGUAUGUAACAUACGAUCGUCUACUAAGACACCAUAGUUGGAUUUUGCUGCAAAUCCUCGACAAUUAGUCUAUCAUCAUCUUCUCAUAACUCUUUACAUUUUUUUCCAGGAGAACUUUAUGAGCUUGAUGGGGGGACAUCACAGCCAAUACCCCAUGGGCCUUCCACUCCUGAUACCUUGUUGCAGGUAAAUUGAUGCACCCAUGUUAUUUCUUAUUCAUCUGAGUUUUAGGAUUAUGAUAUGGAAAGAAUUCAUGUUUGCAAAUUUAUACCUUAUAUAAGCGUGGGGACUGAGAAUUUUGCUUCAUUGGUGGAGGGUGCCACCCACCUGGUAAACGCAAGAGAGCUACUGACAUAUAGUUGGAAAAGGUUUUUUUUAGCUUGUGGCAUUAACUUAAGAUUUUUGGUCAUGACACCGCGAGCUCCUUGUUUUUGGUAUAAGGAAAUGCGGAUGAUGCUUAUGGUUUUGAACAUCUUUGUGUGCAGGAUGCUGCAAAAGUUAUAAAAGCAAGACUUUCCAUGUAUUCCCAGUCAAACAACUUCAAUGUCAUGGCUCUUUCAGGCAAAGUGAUAUAGCAUUAUAGCACUUUCAGUCAUAGGCAGUUGAGAACCCCAUUUGCUUUGCAGCAGCCUCGGAGUCCAACAUUGCAGUAUGUAGUAUCAUUUUCUUGCCUUCGUUUUAGUAUUUGGACAGCUAAAACAAAAUAAAUAAAAGUAGGUACAGAAGUGUUCCCGUUGUGUCACUUAUCCUUUGGAGAAGCGCUAAGUUCGACCAGCAGCUAAGGUGGUAUGCCUAUCCAUGAACCCAUGUCCAUGGUUCGUUCUGCGCCCAGAUCGACGAGGUGCGGUCUGCGUUCUGGCUAGAAAGAGUGUCCGUGUGUCUGGCUAAUUCGGCACUCCGCAGUUGCUUGUGUCGCGAUCUCAUGUCGAAUGCAUGGUUCGCUAGUGUUAACGCGGCACUGCCACUGCGCUAAUUGGCUUAGCCCAGGCGCCUAAAGCGGCGAGGCAUGCUAACAAUCUCAUGCCGUUUGCGAUAACGAAAUUUCACAGAUGGACGAGACGGUAGCAAGUUCGAAACACACACAAGAGCAUGCUGAACACAAUGCUGAAGGUUUACGAAUUUCGGAAUCACUGAGCCUAGCCUAGACGUGUUCAGUGUUCCCACAGAGUAACAGCGAGGUACUCUCUGGCUGAAAAACGUCGGACUAGUCCAUUCGGGAUGAAUCGAGUCUCCAAACCAAUCCAAACGUCGGACGAGUCCAGAUGCCCGUGAUGAGGCCGUUCGUUUGCUUUGGAUGCAUCCUCUUGCGAGUCGAGAUGCAUCCAAAUUCCCAAUCAGGCAGUCGUCGUGGUCGUCCGGUCCGACCUCUGCAAAGCCUGCGCCACUGGUUGUCUGGUUCACCGCUCACGCCUCACCGGCACGGCGUGAGAUCGUCAGCGACUUGUCAGUUAUCACUCAGGGUCGUCGCUCCUGUCCCAAGAUAAUAACAUUUCAAUUCCCGGAAAAUUAGUUUUCCCCUCUGCACGAUUUGUCGUUUGGGUUGGUCUGUCUGCAAGCCUGCUUGCAUCCGGACACGUCGAUCACAAGAGGAUCCGCCUGCAAUGACUAUGAUUCUGGUGGCUCAAGUAGUCAAGUCCCCAAUCAAUGAGUAUACGUCAGUUUACUGUAAUUUUGUUGCGCUAGGCAGGAUAGUUCACUAGUUCAGCUCUAGGUUAUACAAAAAGGAUCGGAUCCCCAUUUCUUACAGAGCAAAGUCACCUAGCUACAACUUUGAACUUUCCAAGGUCUCAACCAGCAAACUGCCAGUGUCCAAAACAGUUCAUGGUACUAUCUAUGGCCGUCGCAUGUGAGCAAAAAGACAUCAUACAUCAGGGGACAUCAUAUAUCAGGCCCCGGUGUGCUUUUCAACUAGCCAAAAGGGCAGCGUAUAUUGCUACUUCGGAGGAAAUGUCCUUGCUGAUACUUUCUUUGAGUUCCAGGUCAUAAAUUCAAGAUGAUGAUAGGGAGCUGGAGCUAGGUUCAGCGGCGACCUCAAUCUAAGAAGUUAGCUGCAAAAGAAAAUCAUAUUUAGUAAAGGAUCUCAUUAUUGUUAGUGUUGUAUUCAGGAACAGGUUAAAACAAUCCAGACUUUUUCGAAGACAUUUUCUGCAUCGGUUCUUCAGUCAACAAUACCUGUGUAUCCACCAAAAGUUUGUUUGAAAAUAAUAUUAUGCCUCCCUAUGCUCUGAUCAUCAUUGACUCGUCAAGGAGGACCAGAAAACAAAUUCUUUUAUUAGAACCUUCACAUGUUCUGUUCAUGUGUGCUCUAAUUGCCAAUCCUUAAUUACAUAUAUGCUAAAUUAAGCAAUGUGCAACUGCAAUUAAGAUAAUAAGUUACAUUAGAUGAUUUUGACUUCACUUUUUUUAUUUAUUCCAGAAAAUUCCUAAAGCAGCUAGUAGUCCUGUGGGUACUAAUUGAAGUUUAUUUUGCGUCAAUUCUCUGUCUCCUAGACAUCCAAGAAAGGCAAUAAAACAUUGUAUCAUUGUCCAAAUAUGUACUCAAAUUAUGGUUAUCAUCUACCAUUGUAAUAUUAAGAGAGAAGGUAUCCAUAUAAAAGUGAUAAAAUGACUAGCAGCCUUUGUGUUUAACAACAUCAAAGUAUCGCAAUUGCAGAGGCAUUUGGAACAAACUGGUAGUGUAGACACUGAUGAAGAUCUUAACAAUGUACCUGUGCAUGCACUAAGUGUGGUUUAAAAUGUGUGUUGACGAUGAAUGGUCAUUUUCUUCAGCAAUGUCAUACAGGCAAUGUUCUCAACAGCUGAAUAGCACUAUUCCAUUGUGGGCCUUCUGCAAGAACAAUCCGCUUCAACAGGGGCACUGCUCCAGCAGCAAUUAUUGCUGGGUGAUUCUCUGGAUCCAUGCUCAGAUUAUACAAGAUAGCUAAGGUAGCUUCGAGUGCAUCUCCAUCCCCCUCUUCAAGCAUUUUGACCAGUGGAAAUAUGCCUCCACCAUCAGCCAAUGCUCUUGUAUAUUCCAGCACACCACCAGAUAUUAUCUUAUUGAGCUCUAUUACAGCACUUCUCUUAUUUUCAAGAGAAUGUGAGGUCAUCAUUUGCUCAACUAGCCGUGGAAUAGUCUGAUAGAUAAUUAUCUCCAUAUCUAUAUUACUGACACCAUGAUCUCCUGAUAAGCCAGCUCUGGAUUCUAGCUUAAUGAGGCAUGCUGCAAGACAAUCCUUUGACUGAAGGGGGAAACUUGACUUGAGCAUUCUUCUUAGCAGAGAAGUGAUUUUUUCACUGUUUAUGCUGCGGAUGAAAAGAUCAAAGUUCAAUAAUUUCGUGAGUAACCUCACAGCUGCAGACACAGCCUCACUGAGUUCUUCGAUGACUGCACUAGGAGUUUCAUCAAAGUUUUCAGAGUCACUUCUGGUCCCUAUUAUGAAGAGAAACAUAAAGAAAUUUUAGAGAUGAAGAUUAUAUCAAUAUAGCAGCAUUUCAAGGCUUCUGAGAUGGAAAACUAGCAGAAAAUGACAGCAAAUUGUGAUAUCUCAGAAUGCUACUAAAUCAUAAUAUUUUGUUGAAGGAAAUUCCACAAAAACUGAUUCAUUAGCACCAUUCUUGGCUAACACUAUACAUGACAAGCAUAUUUGCAUCAUUAUUUGUAAUGUCAUGUUAUAUUGUUACCUAUAAUACAACCUUAUAAGCACCAAAAGGCACCAUCAUUCCAGGAAAAUUUAUGCAGGGAUGACAACGAUAUAGAAUUGACUGAAAGAUCUUACUAAAUUAUGGCAGUGAAACAAAGAACUAUGGAACAGAAAAUAUAUUUCCAUUAGGGUAGAAAUGAUAUAGCUACCAAAAUUCAGAACUUGAUUAACGUUAAAAGUUGAUGUGCAUGGAUAAAAAAUGAACCUAAUGUAAUAUGGUUGAUAUGAAAACAAAGUUUAUGUUCAUUAUUCCAUUUUUUGCUACAGACCAAUAGACCCCAACAAAUCUUGAUGUUUUCUGGUUGAUCAAUUACUUUUUUGGCGAUUAAUACAUUAUUAAUAGGCUAUUUUUACACUUCAAACAAAUACAUUAAUUUAAUACUCUAACAUACUCAACAUCUUAACGAUAUGUAUAGUAAUUCAUGUCAAGUCAGGGCACUACUAUAAAGCUUUUUAGUGCAUAAAAACUCUUGUCGAAGGUUACUACCAUAACUAUUUUCUGAUAUACAUAAAUGAUACAAGGAAAAGAAAUAAUGUAGACAUUUGUAGAUCCAACAAAAAAGUCAACUAAAAAUUUACCAUGAAUAACCCCUAUUUCAAGAAUAGCUUCGAUUACUGAACCAGUGCAAGCAGCAGUCAUUGCCGUGGCAUGUUGCUCUGAAGCUGCUACAUGGUCUAGUACACAACAGACUCUUGCUUGCAACCUUGGCGAUGCUUCCUUCAGAACUUUCGUUAAGCAUGAGAUAGCAUCAAAAUCGAAGAUCAACUCGCUACAAACAUUGAAAGAAUCACAUCACUACAAUAUUCCAACAGACACUACACCUCAUGAAUGAUAAAGUGUCAGGCUUGUGUGCCCAAAAGAGAAGCAAGAAGCCAAAGAUGAUAGUGCAGAACCAUGGACCACAUAAGUUGUGUCUAAGGAUCUGUGCGCCCCAAAGAGGGAUGUUGCCAAAACUGUAGUAUGUAGAACCACAGCGUAGUAGAUAUGUUCGCCAGCAAUCAUACUCUCAUUGAUAAGUGCAGUGACAGAGAGCAGCAGUAGAAGAGAAAUUGGUGUUACCAUGUUAGCGAAAGACGUGGUUGUGGCGGCAUAUUCAAAUGCUAGUAAGGAACAGAGGUGACAGAUCAAUGUGGCUAAGAAACAAAAAUAAGAUAGGAUUUUUUUUGGGGGGUGGGGGGUGGGGGGAGUAAUAAAACAUUGGCCACGACACUACUAAGGUAUUGGUAAAUAAAAGAGCAAACCCAUUUACAACUCCGGCGUAAAAGAUAACAGUGCAAGAUAACUGGUGGAAACACAAACAAAAUCAAGAGGGACGUCAACAUGCUAUCCACAUGUGCUAGCAGCUUGUUAAGGAGACACCGCAAAUUUUAACUUUUAGAAUGCAAUCAAAUUGGUCAAUGUGCAAGUGGCUGGCACUCUCAAGUGAUGGCAAGCAUGCAAGCCUACCAUGCUCAUGGCAGUGUUAACAAGGCAGGGACUAGGGCGAAUCUAGAUCCAGAGUAAUCACUGCUGAAUGGUUGAUGUCAUGGUGCCCAUGGAUGAGAAGGGAAGAGAAAGACUAGAGGUCAAUGGUAAUGUGGCAAAGCAUGUUGAUUUGGCAUGUUUCUUGCCACCGUGGGCAUGUUUAAAGACAGUCAACGGCCAGCAGUGCAUAAAAAAGCCCAUGAAAACACCAUCAGAGGGCUCUUUGAUAUGGUUUUGAGAGUUAAGAGUGUAAAUUUGACAGUUAAUAGUUAAGGGUGAAUCUAGAUUUUGGGUUCGGCAAUAGUUGAUAUGGGUAAAAUGGAUUACUCCUUCUGGAAAAUACUGACUCUAAAGAGGAUUAGGUGAUCCACUGAUAAGUGUGAGAUUAAAACUCAACUCACAAAAUUUGUACUCCCACUGUUCCAAAUUAUAAGUCGCUUUGACUUUUUUGGUACAUCCAUUUUGCUAUGCAUCUAGAUAAAUUAUAUGUCUAGAUACAUAGCAAAAUGGAUGAACCAAAAAGUCAAAGCGACUUAUAAUUUGGAACAGAUGAAAAUAAGUUAUUUCAUUGAACUGGUUGGUCCCUAUAAGCAGCUUGUUAUGAAAUAAAUUCAUGCUUUUCCCACUACUGAAAAUAACUUAUUCACCACUGGAAAGUGCUUCCUUUAUCCCUAAAACUCAUGUCCCUACAUAAUUGUUAUUUUAGAAAGAAAAAUAUUCAUAUAUUAAGUGUCUCUAUAAUCACAUAUAUAUCUAUAUCUAUACCAUAUAUUAAUUGUGAGUGUUUUGAAGGGCUAAAGACAAAAUAGUUUUAUUAAAUAAUUAACUAGUUUGACAUCUGUCUCGACACUUGAGAUUAAUUGAAGUAUUACAGACACUAACAUAGAAGGAUGAUACAGUAAGUCAGUAACUGAAGACCCAAUUGGUAAUAUGCAUGCAUAAAACUUAAACAUUACUAAUAGAUUGUGCAAGGUCUCACGCAUUUAUAUAAACAAUAUAAAGUGAAUAAACAGUCAGACAUUUAAUGUGGUAUAAUCUUAUACCAUUUUGUCAUAUGUGUGCAUAAAGCUAAAACAACACUUUGUCAUGUUAUAAGGGAAUGAGAACUCAAGAUUUCCCAUGAAACUAUUGAGUAAAUAAAGUCACAUGUGUAGCCACAAGGCCCAAACUAACCUGGCCAUCUCUUGGUUAACAGAUGUCUCGGGAAUUGCAUUGUUUCCACUAUCCUUAUCACCUUCAGUAUCCGGCUGACAAAUCGAGAGCAUUAGAGUACAGCGUUUCAACAUAAAACAAAUGAAAACCAGUGAUGUGCAAAAUAAGCCAGACUCACUGCAGCAACCAUGCAAAUCCCCAUGUCAAACAUUCCAGAAAGUAUAUAAAUUAUCUGCACAGAAACUGCUAAGUUAGAACCCUAGCCAUGACAAUGUUAUUCUUACGUGUAAAAAGGUCAUGUUGAAGGCCAAUACCUUCUCUAGUAGUUCUACUGGGGUAUCUCGAUCCUUGACUAUAUUUACAAACAAUUCUAAUCCACCUUCUGUUUUGAUAUUCCGACAGACUGUGGCACUACAAAGGAUUGUGAAGAAAGAAAUAGUCAAACGAGGAGGAACAUAUGAUAGUAAAAAAUGAAUCCAGGCAUCCAGCAACAAACAGAAGAACAUACUAAAUAUGGUCGAGUAGCGCCCCAAUAUAUAUUAUAUGAUAUUAAAGCAAUUCAUGGCUUAUCAAAUAGAGAACACUUCAACAGUAUCCACAUCUUGAACAGUUCAUGCACAAUGCACAAUUACUUGUUAGUCUAGAGCCAACAUUACAGACAACUAGAGUACUAGAUUUCAUUAUCUGUAUCUUCUGCUAGCCUAAACAAGGAGUAGCGCAAGUGCAUUUGAAUAAAUCUGAUAUGGUGGACUAUUGAUAAAAAAAAAUGGACUGAAUAGGUGCGCGCGCGCACACACACACACAAAAAGGUUCUCAAUAUGUUCCAAAACAUGAAGUGCUUUUCUUCUCAAAUAUGCAGGUGAGCUGCAUACCUUUUAUUAAAGUAGAAGAAAGACUGUACAGAACCGGUCACUUGCGCAAUUGCUUUAGUCAUAGUAACAUAUGCGCCCACAUAGGAAAAUAAACUACUCAACCAAGGAAAAAAGAAACAAACUGGGUAAAAAAAACAAUGUUCUAUAGCCAAACAAAUAGAUACACCUAGACAUAAAUGUAGGUCCAUGGUGCAUGUUUUAAAAGGAGAUACAUCAAUACAUUGUGAAACCUUUGUUUAAAACAGCAACACUUAAACGGCGCAGCAGCACCUCACCUAGCACCUAGGCAUUUUUCUACCUAGAAUAUUUUUAUGGUUGUUUUAUAUAUAUGAAAGUGGGAGAAUUAGAGAUGGAAAAAGAUGAAUUAUGGUCAUAGAGAUCAUGGGUUUAUUAAUAUGCCAAAUUCCUCUAUUUAACAUGACAUUACUCUAGGCAUCAAGAAAAAAAUAUGAUCUCCUAGAAACGCCUUACUGUGUUAUAAGUAGGGAUGAAAACAGAUCGGAUACGAACGGAUAUCACCGAUAUCAUAUUUGUUUUCAUAUUUCUGGUCGGAUUCGGUUUCGAAUACGGAUAAUGUCAAUCAUGUCGGAUAAGAUACAAUUAGAUGUCGACAUCAUAAAUAUACGAUUUAAGUAUUCGGAUACGGAUACAGUAUCGAAUAUUGAAUAUUCGGACUCGGAUACGGACAAAUUUAAACUCCUCUAAACGAAUUCGGUCUCGAAUACGGUCGGAAAAUAUCCGUACCGUUUUCAUCCCUAGUUAUAAGUGACAGCACCCAAACAGAGUUAACUACCUGCAAAGUGAUAUUAAGUUUUGUUCUAAACAACAUUAAGUGGUAUGAUCGCCUUGAUUAAAGACUUUGAAUAAGGAAAGAUAAAGUACCUGACACUUAAUUUUUCCAACGCAUAAGCACCAGCUUCUCUAACAUGUACAUCUUUGUGCUUGAGCAACUGAAGUAGAGGUUUAACAGCCCCAGCUUCCUUGAAUGAGGUACGCAUAUGUUCAUUUAUUGAUGCAUCACCCAAUGCUCUAGCAGCCUUUUUUAUUGCAGAGACAUCUUCCAGUCCAAGGAUUAAAACUAACCGUGCAACACCAUCGACCCAUGGCAAAAUGGUAUACAUGUCAUUCUUUUCAGAUCCAGAUUCCUCUUUUCCUUGAUCAUCCAACUCAAUAGCUCCAACACGCGCAAGGAAUUGCUGAUUAGAACGUCCUAUCAUAGCAUUAAUUUUAGCCUCAUCUGGUUUUGUAUCAUUCUCAUUGAUACUCAAGCCAAGGAGCAGUUCAGUAGCACCGUAUUUUGAGGGACGAGAACUCCGCUGAAUCUCAGAGCCAUCAGGAAAAGAGGGCCAUGAAUGAGGGAGAGGUUUAAAAGCUUUAUAUGCAGCUGAGCCAACCAAAGGAACCCGGACUAGACCCUCCUCUAUUAUAAGGCUGUAGUAACGAUCAUCACCAGCCAGCUGUAUUAGUGAACUUUUAGCUUCCUUUCUAAUAAUCUUAUAGUCAUCUUCUUUCGUUUGCAAAAGAUGAACCUAAAAAAAACAACCCAGAUUAUUAGAUUAUUAUUUGGAACAAAUUUCAGGAAAUAUAUAAUGACAAGUGGCAAAAGCACUUUGCAUUCCAACAAAAUAUUAGCAUGACAUAAGAUUUAAGCAUAUAUCAAAUAUAGACCUAUAUAUUGAGACUUUGCUAAAGUUUCUGAGUAACAGGUCACCAAAAGUUUAAAAGCAUCUCAUAGUAUUGCAAUUGCAAUGGCUUUUAGGACCUCAUUUGAGGAAAAAAAAAAGUUAAAUGAUGCAUGUACCAAGUGUAUAUCCUUAGCAUGGCUAAUACAACAUUUCAUGUUUUCAACAUUUAAGCAAUGCGUAUAAGUGUGCGAUUAUUUGCACCGGUAUCUUGUUACAUUGAAAUUACCAAUUUUGGGAUGACGCCUGCUUCAACCAAAGCUCCAUGAUUAGAGGGACUCAAAGCUAAAUUUGAUAUGAUACCACCAGCAGCCUCUUUGACUUUUAUGUCUUCUUCAUCUAGGUAGCUAACAAUCUUCAUUAGGACAUCGCUCCUCAGAAUCUUGUACCUCCAAUUUUCAUCAAUAGAAAAGUUCCAAAUGGUACACAAACACUGCUCUAGAAUCUGCAAGAGGAAAACAUCAUGUUUGCAAUUUCAUGAUGCAUUAGGUAAUUCAACAUUGUUUUUAUAUGUAUCCUGGUUAUCAACCAUUACCACGCAUGCCAAACAUGGUAAUAGCCAGUUAUAUCACUUUACAGCCAACCUGGAAUGGAGAAAAAGAUCUUGGAGUGGUAGUGAUUAAAUUUGCAGGUACCUCAGGGGUUAUUGUAGAUUUACAGAGAAGACUAAUGAUUUCUUCCAUUGCUCCACUCUCACCAGCCACCUUCCUAUAUAUGUGAACUGAUGUAAUGUUACGCAGAAGACCUGCAGCUGCUUCACAGGCAGGAAUGGACUCUGAUUUCAGGAGGCUAAUGAUGAGAACAAUGCAGCCAGGGAAUUGCAUUAUCUCAUCGACGCUCUUCCUUCCACCAAGGGAGUACUGAUAGAGCGUGCAAACAGCAUGUUCCCUAUCACGUGAGUCAUUGUCCAAGCCAAGCAAUCGAACGAAGAGACCAAGAUAUGCAGACCCAGAAUUUGUGACGCCAGCAGAGUAAUCGACAUCCUAACAAAAUCAACCGAUGUAUUGAGACGAUAGCAACUCUGAAAGAAAUUGCACUUCAAGAAAGUCCAUUCUGAAUUUCAAAAGUUCAAAGCAACUGAAGUGAGCUAUAAAUAGUGUGGUACAAACAUUAUCUUUUAGUAGAAAGCGAAACGCCCACAUGUAAAACUAAUUUCAGAAUUUUGUCAGUUGCAUUCCAAAACAUCCUGAAAAUUGCUGGAAUACCGCAAUUUCUUGCUAAAAUGGAGCAAUUAAAGCAUUAUAUGGACAUUAAGGUUCAGAGUACACAAACAUUUCAGAGUUUUUUUUUUCUAAAAAAAAUAUUUAUCUAUUUUUGCAAAUUCCUGAGGACUGAAUUUGAGCAAACACCACGAUGGCGUGUCAGGAGGGCUGCCAGGAGCUUACCUGUCCUGAAGGACCCUCCCCGGAGGCGAACGCGCCGGCAAGGAGAAGACGGCGGGCGCGGGUAGUGCCACACGAGGGCCUGGCCGGAGUAGCAGAUAGAAGUAGGUGGCGGCGGAGGUGAAAGCGACGGCCAAGGUGGUGGUAGCGCGGCAGAUGGGAGAUGGUGGGGGAUGUGGCGGCGACCGCCGGCAGCAUGGCGACAGAGAGAGCUCGGCAAAGAGUGCUUAGUUCCGCGGGCGCGUGGGUCGCGAUAGGAUUCCCAGGGUGUGUUCUAGAAGAGCAUCAAACAUUUCUCCAGGCUUCUAGAGUAGAACGCCCAAAAUCGUACUACGUACAAUGUGGCCCAGGAAUCCUAUCUAGCGGCCCAAGUACGCUCAUCACCUUGUUUUGUACACGUACGACCAUUUCUCACAAUUCUAAUAAAACAAUCUAUGCUAAUCUAAAAUAUGAAAAAGGAACCACACAACUGGUUUAUGUUUUAUGCAAAAUGUAAAGUGGUCUUGAGACCACACCCCAAACUUUAGCUGCGCGUGCGGCAAACCUUGGUUGGGCCUUGUUUAGUUAUAAAAAAAUUUGUAAAUUUUUUUAGAUUUUCUGUCACAUCGAAUCUUGCAACACAUACAUGGAGCAUUAAAUAUAGAUAAACAAAAAUGUUACUGUGUUUAUUUUAUAAAAAAAAUUGGAACUAAACAAGCCCUUAACGUAGGAGACGUCACCAACUAAUGUACCAAGCGAGUAAAAAGAAAAACUAAUGUACCCCGGCCUCUCCCAACUAAACAUUUGACUUGAAACUGGUAUCUUUGCAUUGUGGGUUAUCCGUGACAUGGUGGCCUAUUGACUGAGGCAUGAAUAGGAUCGAAGGUUUGUGAUCUAGGCUUCAGUUUGGGCCCUCGGGGAAUUUCUACAGUCGGGAUUCUUUAAAAAAAAAAGGAUUUUGCUUACUGUUUUAUGCAAGGGCAGUGGAGUUCGGAUUCCUAUAGAAAAAUUAGGAAUUUUGCCUACUAUUUUAUAUAACAAUACCGGAUGCCGGGUCCUAAACCCUAAUGUGCUUUGUGGGACCCAUUUCAGCGGGACACGUAUGUCGAGGUUAAGAGAAAAAUGACAAACGAAAGAGUAAAGAGGGGUUUGGUUGAGAGUGUUAAAAUUUAACAACAUUUUUAUUUUAUUUGGUAAUUAGUAUCCAAUCAUAGACUAAUUAGACUCAAGAGAUUCAUCUCACAAAUUAUUCUCUAGUCGUGUUUUUAGUUUUUUAAAUAGUAUAUAUUUAGUAAUCUAUAUAUGUCUAUAUAUGUGUCCAAACAUUCGAUGAGUAAAAUAGACUAAUUUGGAUUUUGGAUGACCAUUUAGCUCUUUCCUCAGAUAAGUCUGCUCUGCAUUUGGCCCCUUGCACAACUGCAGCCCAUUUGGAUCAUGAGAUGGUUUGCUAAUUUCUUAACUAGGCUAUAGCUAAAAUGACUACUUUGUAAAUUCUGCAAUACAUAAUAUUGAUAAAGGAACCAUAAAAGCUACUAUGACUGUCGGAGAAACACUCAAGUUGAGCCUAUUCGCUUGGUAGAAAAGUCAUGGCUAAAAGUACUGUUCGUUGAUUUAUUAUAAGAAAAAAAACAUUACUGAAUAGACAAAUUCAACAAAUAAACUCAAACGAACAAGCUGUGAAUCUCGUAGUGGAGGGACCUCAGUACUAACCUAAAGGAUCUAAUCAAGUGAAUAAACUUGUAGUUAGAAGACUUAAGUACUUUACAAAUGUGAGGCGCUACCCUAUCUGUACAUUUAGGUAUAGAUUAACUAGGCAUAAAAUGUACAUGUUGAUGUUACAUCACUGAGUAAACUUUAUAAAUCCAAGUUUAUAGUAGCAGUCUGCACGUAUGAAGUAGCAGGGUAUGUAUUGUAUCCAAGGGGACCAUGAACUAUCAGAAACCAUCCGAAAAGCCAUGCCCAUUUUUCGCACAAUAAUAAAAAAAAGAAACAAAAAGGCCCAUGGUAACCCAACCCCAUAACCUAGUCAUUUUAGCAUCAUCAAAAUGAAAUUACGAUUCUAAGAACUAUUGAAAAAGUUAUUGUAUAGUUCGAACAAACUAUGACAUCAUUUUAGCUUACCAGAUAAUACACUGAGAAAAUAAACAUAACAGGCACCAACUUACAAGAUGAUUAUCCUUGAUAACAUAACUCGUUUUUACGUGUCAGUAAUAUCUUUGCCAUCUGCCGGAAAGGAUGUAACUGGAUAUAUUAAUCAUCGAUUAGGCUAUGCUCCAGGAGUAUCUUUCCAUACUGCUUACAGGAAGUUCCUCUGAACAGAACCAGAUGCGAAACGGGAAGUUAAUCCUUGUGACAUGUUCUCUGGGUCUAAAGCUACCUUUUGGCGCCCAGCAGUCAGAUCCUUCUCCCGGUCCCAUGGCUUCCAUGGGUGGUUUCCCUCCCAUUCUUCUUUCUCGUGCUGUUUUUGUUUCUUUUUCUCCUUUUUACUCUCUCGGUGCUUCUGCACAAGAGACACUGAUCUUUUGGAGGUAUUGUACUUAUCUACAAUUGAAGCAUCCGGGUUUUUGCUCUUUACAUCCUCGCCUUCUGCAAUCGCCUUUGUCUUAUUGUAGGCUUCUAGAUAGCUGCAAGAGAGUCUAAUCCAUUAGCCCAUGUACAUUGGUAUUGGUAUUAUUUAAAGAUGCAAUGGGGACAACGCGUAAGCAAACUGAUGCCUCCAUUACAAUGUUGUUUGCCUGCUGACUCAAACAACGAUGGCAGAUUCCAUGAGUUUAAUUAGUUGGCAACGAAAACAGUUUACAAUCAGCUGGUUUAUAUUAAGUUUGUGACAUCCAAUCCAUGCACUUACGCUUCCAUUGUCAUACGAGCAAAAGGCAUUAUGUACUACUGCCAUUAUAUUUCUACCGUUCGACCAUUGAAAUACUAUAGCAUGGUAUACAUAAGUGACAAUACAUGGAAACACUAACUUCAAUCCUGCUUAACUAUCUUACAAUGAUCAACAAAAGCUUGUUUUACAAAAGGAUGAUUUAAUUUUCAUGAUUUGUUAUUAGUAGUGGGCAUAUUGACGCAAUAAUGUGCAAGUCUAUAAUAUUUAAGUGAAACAACUACAUAUGCAAACCAAUGUUCUACAAAACUUGUAACAUUCAUGCCUUUAACUAGUUUUAACCUGGAACUUCCCGCUCCUGGUGUUAGCCUACUGCUGGAAAUUCUUCAAAGUUCAAAAUUUCAACUAGGUUUUAUCUAGUUUCAAGGAGGAACCAGUCAUUAGUCAUUAAAAUAGUAGCAGCCUUCAGGUUGUUCAGGGACGGCAACCACAUGAUACAGAAAUGCCAUUAUUUUUGCCUCAGUGCGCAGUUGCUGCAAGUUUGUGUGAUAUUUUGCAUUUUUUGUCAUUGCUAAAAGCAAAGUUGAUUUCGACAACUUCUAUAUGGAAGUGGAAUUUGAAUAUUGCUUAGUGUGAUGGCUCUGCAUGUAGAUUGCAAUGCACUAUUGCCAACUCAGCUGCUAUGUGGCCUUUUUGUCCUGUGUACUGAAUUACUGAUGCCAAAUAAUUCUCUUUACCAGUAUUGCCACUGCACUAGCAGGCAUGAAAAAUAACAAACUAUCAUAAAAAGAACUAAACUGCUUCAUAAGUGUUACACAGCUAGAGAGGGACUUAGUUCGGUUGGCCCUUUAGGCAUUGCGCCCAUGCAUGAUCUGUAAGGUUGAUUGAUGAUUUGUUGUAGGCAAGGAUGCCCCUCGUUGGCCCAGAUUCUAUUAGCCAAAAAAGAAGAAGAAAACCCUAGGACAAUACUUGCCUAUAUAUCAUUGUAUUAUUGCCUCCUCAUAAUCAAUCUACUAUUCCUGCGCAAUUCCGUUGCUUUCUGGAUUUGGUGGGCGGUGUGGUUUUUGCAACUGAGUGUCCCUCAUCAGCACCAUUGGAAGCCUACAAAAUCUGGAUCCUACUCUAGCAAGUCAGCCUACACUGCCUUUUUCUUGGGAACUAUCAAGUUUGGUCCCUGGAAAAUUUUGGAAAAGCUGGGCCCCUCUCAAAUGCAAGUUCUUCCUUUGGUUAGCCAUCAAUAACUGGUGUUGGACGGCCAAUCGCCUCGCCAAGCGCAGGCAGCCCCACCAGCCUGCUUGCCCCUUUUGUGAUCAGGCUGAGGAGACAAUCCAGCACAUCCUAAUCUCUUGUGUGUUUACCCAGCAGGUUUGGACUUUGGUGUUUCAGAAACUUCCAAUGGCGACUUUGGCACCUCCAGCUGAUGCAACUCGUUUCUUCAGAUGGUGGGACCGUGGGAGAACACCAUCAGAAACUCCCUCAAAGAGAUUUGCAAGGGGCUUAAUUCCCUUAUUAUUUUGGUGACCUGGGAAUUAUGGAAAUUUAAGAAUGCUUGUGUUUGAGGGAGCUCCCACUAAUAUUCAGAAUCUUCUGCACAAGGUCGAUGAUGAAUGUAGCACUUGGUGACUUUUCUGGUUGGCAGUAUGAUCCCCUUGGUCGUGUUCUUUAGUCAGUAGCAUGUGGCGUGUAGACAACCAGGUUUGUGUGGCGUUUUUGGGGGGGCUGUUUUCACCUUGCUCUUUUACUCUUUUUCCUCUAGUAGUGAAAUGACACAGAACUCUCCUGCGUAAUUCGAGGAAAAAAACAGUAAGCAUACCUUUGUUGUGCUUUUUGUGCUCUAUCAAGAGGGGUAUCAGUCCAGACACUUGUGUCUCCACGUCCUUCUUUACCAUUCAUACUAAAUGAUUUAGUUGAAUGCAUCGGCACUCCUGCCUGUGACAAGAAAAAAAAUACAUAUAUAUAUAUAAGAUAUCACAAUAAAGUAAGCAUACUUUGGUGGAUUGUAGAUAAAAGAAAAUUACAUAAGUAAAUAUUUCUAUCAUUUACUUUUCUCUCUGGUGGCAAUGUGGUCAUCCAUUCAUCUCUCUUAGGUGCCUGUGACUCUUUUGGACCUGCUAAAAGUUCAUCAUCACCUGCAAGUGAUACACCUGCAAGCAAAAAGAGGAUGACAUCAUAUUUAUCCUUGACAUCCAAUAUCUUCACAAUUACCAGCUAUGACAAACUUUGAACAAAAAUAUAAUGAUCAAUGAAAUCACGUACAUCAAAUCUGGGCGCACAAGCAGACAAAAAAAUUGAAAAAGAGGUUACAACAUCUUAUGGUGGUAAGUGUAUUGUGCACAGGGCUAAAGUACACAUAACUAUUAUAGUCAACACAAUCACCAGCAUGUGCAUGGAGCGUAGUAUGUGAAAUUUACUUUAUCUUAUAAUUCAAGCUUUAUGGAGAAGCCAGAGGUCCAUUCAACAGUGUUUGAUUUGGAAGCUAGUAUGUAAUUAGAGACAAAAAAUCAUUUUUGUUAUUAUGAUAGUUAAUUUGAUAAUGUUGUGUUGUUUGCCUAAGUGAUAUUCUGCAUAGGAAUUCAUAGCAGCCAGUAAGAUCUUCUCAUAUAAAGAACAACUGUAGAUUGAAAUUUGUACCCCAAAAAGAAUGUUGCUACAUGCUACAGUACAUAGCAUCAAAUUAUAUCUAAAUUUAUUUUGGAAUAUUGAUAUUGGUAUUGCAAUAGUUUACCUUGUAACCGUCUCCAUUCCGCAGCCUCACGCAUUGCUUUAAGCUCAAUCUAAAAAGUAAAGAAAUGGGAUAAACAGAAUAAAAUACUUAUCUGUUUCAUUCUGACCAAUCAGUAAGCAACAGAUAUUCUACAGAAGUAAGAAGUUUACCUCAAAUUGUUCCAUCUCCUCUUUCUUUUUUAUUUUCUCAUCUAUUGCACCUCUCUGCAAAUCAAGAAAAUGCCAGAAAUAAAAAAUGUAAGCUACAUUGAGGGAGGGGGGGCAUUGAUUUUUUACUAAUCAAUGAAAAGAGAGACAAACUAAGCUGGAAACUUCAUCAAAAUUUUUAUCUCUUCAAUAGUAUCUUUUUUAAUGGCCACAAUAUAUAUAUAUAUAUAUAUAUAUAUAUAUAUUAUUUUCUCCAAAUAAGACAAAUGUAAUAGUGGUUCUGUACUUGGCAAAAUUCUGCAAGUGAACUUCGAUAGAAAGAUGAACCUAGUUUCAGUGUGUGGAAAACUCAUGUACCUUAUCAGGGUCUUGUAAGUCUUUGAAGGCAUUAUUUAAUUUCACGAAUGCCUCUUGUGCUAAAGGAUGAGGACAUUUGUCCGGGUGCACUAAAAGGGACAACUUCCAAUACCUACAGUAUAAAAUAGGAGGAUUAGUCACUUAAGCAGAAAAUAGAAAAGCAAAACAUAACUAAUGUAGCAUGAUGUGAUAGGUUUAUGACAUAGAUAACAAAAUGGAGCCACUUUCUUCAUGGGCACUUGUAGCAAGACCUGUAAAAGCCUAAAAGGUACUGCUAUGAAUUUUCACUAUUUGUGUCAACAAUAGUCCCAACUCCCAACAACCUACAGAACAAAUACUACAUGAACCAUUCUAUUAUCUUUGCAGUAAGAUUUGAGGUAACAUUUUUAUUAUUAAAACAAAUUAGCUGUGAAAAUGAAGAGCAUACAAACACCUUUUCUUCAUGUUAUCAGUUGACAUCUUCCAAUUUACCCCCAGAACAUCAUAAGGUGAAUUUGUGUCAGCUGCCAAUAUUCGAGUAACCUACCAAAAACAUCCAAAAGAAAGGUCAACAAAUUGCUGGAACGUAUUAAAGCAAAACUAGAUAUUUAAUUGAAAAAGGAAAUUAGAAUUCAGAAAAUAAUCAUGUUGUUCAUUAGAUGUUUAUUGAAAGUGACAGAAACAAACUACAAGAAAGAACUUCGCCUUCUAAUCAAUCAAAAGGAGAACUCGCAAAAUCCUUUAGAUCCUAAUCCCAAAGUAUCACAACAGGACCUGAAAGUUGUUUAUAAUGUCGAUUACAGUUAUACAAGCAAAGUGGCACAUAUUAACCACAAUUUGUGCUAGGAUCAAAUAUUAAAAUAUAUGUGUUAUCAUCCAGAAUAACAAAUUGACCCCAUAGGCAGCAGAGACUAGCUGAUUGCAAGGUAAAUAGGAAAAGCACAUAGCAAGGAUCAAUGAGGACACAUUAUACUAACUGCUGUGAAAAUUGCAAACAGCAAAGAUAACUCGAGAAAGUGCACAGCAAAAGAAUGGAUGAACUUUAAAAUAACAUAGGUACUUGGCACUGCAUUGCUCCAAAACUAUUAAUGGUGGAAUAUCAUUACUGACAAUGUACCUCUUCAAAUCGCUCAGCUUCAUUUGCAGAUGCAGCUUCAGCGACUACAGCUGGCGGUGGGGGGCCUAUGAGCAAAUCAUCAUCGGCUUCCAGUUCAGCAUCCCUGGUUAGGACAUUAAAUGAAUGAAAUUUUGCCUAACCAUUGUUUGACACAUGAAUCUAAGCUAAACAUAUCAGACUAAAAACAAGAACAUAUCAGACUCAAAACAAGAAUAGAUCAUUACCGGCACCUAAGAGCCUCUGUCAUUUCAGCUGCUGCAGCCAGUAAUUCACGAGAUGGCAUUGCAGGACCGAUUACCCUGCACAGAGCAAAACAUUACAUUGGGUAACAAGUUGGGCAGUAAUCAGACAAGAAAAGAAUCAUGUUGUGUCGGGUAACAAAUUUAAGAAGGAAAUGGGCAUUCCAUAAACACACAGCCACACUAGACAGCAUAACGCCAAACCUACUACAUUAGAACCUAAAACAGUUAUGUCAAGAGAAAACACAGCAGCAAUAUACUUCAACUACACCGCAUGUGCAGAACUCAUCAAAGAACUCACAGCAACUCACUACUCACAAGAGCUCAACCUCAAUCAAGCAACCAAAAAACGCAACUUGAAUCAAUCAUGGGAGCAUAAAGACCUCGUCGAUCACUAUGCAGGUUUGAUAUGGCUAUGGCUGCCACGGUUAUCGAAGCAUGAAGCGCAUGGGCCAUGAAGACUGCUCUUCGUGGGCAGGCUCGGUCCUGAUGUAGCCUACAGUAGCUUAAUGGCGCGACCACACGAGACGAGGGACGUCAAGGCUUGGUGGCACUUGGUCCUAGCAGGGGACGAGACGAAGGACAUCGAAGCCUGGCAGCGCUUGGCCCUGGCGUGGAACAUGGAGAAGCAGAGAAAGGGGGAGGUGGAGUGCUGCCACAAGGGAGAGGUCGAGCGCGGGACAAGUUCAUGGGAUGGCUGGGGAUGGGGGUCUAUGGCAAUGGCCAGAGGCAGCCAACAGAUGGUGAUGGGGUCUGUCCUGGAGGUUUUCGUGCGAUUCCCCCCCCCCCCCCCUCCCACCCGAUUUUCAAGUUUUAGGAAGCUAACUAUUGGGGGGGGGGGGGGGGAGGGGGGGAAGGCAAUUCCUAUUUGGUAUCCACAAACUCGCUAGAUGGGGACGGACAGGAGGGCCAUGAUGCACGGUGGCAAGGUUCAUCAUAGCCCCUCAUGGGAGGGGCAAGUGGUGACGAAUCCUCGCAACCCAGUUGACACCCACCUGUCUCGCUAGGUUUCGUUCAGUGGGGAUAUGAUCAUGUCCUUGCUCCUGCACACCAGCAUCAAGAAUAUAUGCUAAUAGUGGGAAUGUGGGAUACUCUGGCAUUAUAGUGAAGCAGACAUUAACAUGCAGUAAUUGAAAAACUCAUGUAUUGUUGUUACCUAAAGUAACUGAAAGAAGAACACAUCUGAUGCAACUAUCUAACCAAAUAAGUAUAUGGCCAAGAAUACUUCUAUCAUAUUUACAUGUAUGCAAUGAAAUUUAUCAGGAAUACUGCAGCAGAAUAAAUUGUGACACCCAAUGUUACCUUCUUUUAGGAGGUUCCUCUUCCACACCAAUAAUUUUCGGCUCUUCGGAAAUAGAGUCAUCUUUAUCUUUAUUUUGCACAUCAAAGUUAGCCUGUGGUAGUUCUUCUCUAUAUGGUGAUACUGACUUUUCACUUUUGUUGUCUGAAAGUUUGGAACCUGCUAAUAGUAAUGAUCCAACAAUAUCAAGUGUAGGAACAUUUUUUGGAGGCAGCAAGUAAGCCCCACUUGCACUUUCUUUCAGUCUCAGAGAUCGGAAAAGUUUCUUCAAGCGCUUCACCAAUGGCUUGUCAGAAAUUCCAGAAAUAUCAAUGCCUUCACCACUGUCUAUCAUUUGGAGAAGCUGAAAGUUCGCAUCAUGAGUUAUCUUAAGGACAGAACAUAAAAAUUACACUAAAAAAGCAUGUGGUACAAAUAUACACAUUAAAUAUAUUCAGGAAAAAUAAUAUUACAGCACAAAUAGAUUGCAGACUUCACAUUUUAUUUUCAGUGGCAUAUUAAAAAUUGAAGAGAGUUAAUGUAACCAAUACUUUUGGACAAAUGAAGCCACCAUAGUCAAUAGAAAACAGUAAGUAUGAAGCUAAUAGCUAGAAUAAUGUUUCAUACUGUUAGAUGUCUUAUAAAUAUUUGUAUUUCCCCAUUGUAUAAGGGGUUUGGUGUAUAUUUGCUAAUAACUGUACCUGUAUAUAUUUGGGCCUAGAGCUCUAAUAAUGAAUAUAAGUGCUAUUCAGAACACAUACAGCCACUUCUAUACAUAUCUAAUACAUAAAUAUAUCAUGUUAUUAAGUAUUAAGUAACGUCAAUACUAUUAUGCCAUUUAGAAGCCUAAAAAGGCAGUAUAAAUAUAAAAUUUUAUUUAACUUUCAAAGACUCAAUGUAUAAAAAAAUGCACCCAGAAAGAAGCUCAAAUUUUCGUCAUGCAAAUUGAUCACAAAGAUAAAGGGUAACUCUGCCAGUCACAGUUGCUGAUUUUCAGCAUGACAACUGCUGGUUGAAAUGGCAGAGUUGAACUAACUCGACAAUGGAAGUUAGUAAGAAAUUAUACAUCCACAUUAAUUUCAGGAGACACGAGUUGAAAUAACUCAGCCUACAUACAUGAUUCAAAAGUAACAGUUGUAACUGCCAAUAUAUUCAUUAUCAUUAUAUCUUUCAGAUUGAACAUUAUGCCAUGCGUUUUGGUUCUUGAUUAUAAGCACAUCAACCAAGCAUCAAGAAUACAAAACAAAAAAUAUAGUUUAUAUUAGGAUGAUUUCCAGGAAGUGAACUAGGAGGCUAGGAGCUGAAAAAAUUAGCUUCCCCUGAUUCACUACUAGCCAAGAAUCACUUUUAGUCUAUAGUUUAUCUCAGAGAAUCCAAGAGAAUCGCUUCUCUCAGAAAAUAAGAAGCAGAGCAGGAGCUCUAUUUUGGAAUCAAGAAAAAGUUAGGAUGAUUGCAUGACAUAUCAUGAAGCUUCUAUUCUAUGUCACUUAGUAUGGAAGGAGGAAUCAUUUCAGACUCUGCUGCAUUUCCGUAGGAAUCUUAUAGCUACUGCAGGCUUGUACGUAAAAAGUACCAGAGAGUGAACACAAUCACAAAUCAUCGCCCUCACAUGUAGUAUAUGUGGGUUAUCUAUGGAUGCAGAGUUAUUGCAUUCGUAUAAAGUAACUGUGUUUUACAGAUUUUCUAGCACUGUAAUUGUGGAAGCCCAGACAUGGCCCGUUGUUCAACUUUCCGAAACUACAACUCUAGGCUAAAAAUAAAUAAAAAAUAUAAGAAACCCUACCUGGCGAAGCUCUCCGGCUACGGCCGGCAAUUCCCUGAGGAUAUCUCGGACGAUCUCCCGCGCCUCCUCCGCCCUAUCCUCCUCCGACGAUUGGGAGUCGGAGGACCCGCCACCAUCCCCACCGUGCCGCUUUCUCUCCUGGUCCCGUCUUCUCCGAUGCCGGCGGCGGCGGUCCUCGUCGCGGGAGCUCCGCGACCGGCCGCUGUCCUUGCGGCUGUGGCGGUGGCGGUGGCGGUGCGAUGAGGAUGAUCUACUCCGCUUGCUGCUGCGGCUCCGUCGCUCAGGGCUGCUGCUUGGGGAGGACGCCGAGGAAGGGGAGUCGGAAUCCGAGGAGGGGGAGAGGGAGGCGUCGCGGGAUCUCUUGCGGCUCCGGCGCCUAGUCUCCUUCCCGUCUCUUGCCAUCUCCUGUUUCCUCAACUUGGGAUGCUGGGGGAGGAGAGGGGAACGACAGCACGAGUUUGAGCUUGAAUUUUCUGAGUUUGAGGGCAAAACGCAAAAUGGUGGGAGCAACGAGCAGGACGCCCCGCGGCGGUGGCUAAUGGGUAUACUCGCUCUUUCCCAAAUUAAGUGUCAUUUUUUUUCUGGUGUAAUUUUGACUUGAUUUAUAAAAAUAAGUAUAAUAUUUAUAUCUUCAAAUAAAUUUGUUAAAAAACUAGAUUUAAAGAUCUUUCCAAUAAUACUAAUUAUGUAAAUAUUAAUAUUUUUUAAUAUAUAUUUAAUCAAAGUUAUUUCUUGUAAAGCGAGAAUGAUAGUUAUUUUGUGACAGAGGAAGUAAGCUAUAAGGACUUGUUUAGUGGACGAGGUGAAAAGUUUUUAGGUAUUGUAGCAUUUUUGUUUUUAUUUAGCAAUUAUUAUCUAAUCAUGGACUAACUAGAUUUAAAAGAUGUAUCUCGUAAAUUAUAACAAUUAGUUAUAUUUUUAUUUAUAUUUAAUAUUUUAUACAUGUGAUUCGAUGUGACGGGAAAUUUUGAAAUUUUUUUGACUUUUGGAGAAAACUAAACAAGGCCUAAGAUUUUCUCAGAGCACAUUUGUCUUGACAGUUCCAGGGUUGGGGCUCAUUCAUCUUCACGGCUGAUCUAUGGAGCCCAUCCGAUCCUAGAGAUUCGCGGUAUGUCUAGCUGCCUCUGACGAUUUGCCAUCCGAUCCGCUGAUCUAUGGAGCCCAUCCGAUCCUAAGAUUGCUCGUUUUGCCGGCCGUAUUUUUUUUAUUUAUUAGUAGUAGUUUUUUUAUAAUAAAUCAGACAACAAUAAUUUCAACAAUAAUUUCAGCUAUGAUUCAGAUCAGCAAACAGAGCCUAAGUGUUCUGGGUGUCAUCGUAUUCCCUCACUGGUCCCGGGUGUCCUGGCACAAACGGUGGCGGAGGGAUUCUCGAAAGUCUUAAGUUUUUUUAAAAGAAUUGAAGUUCUUAUAUGCUGUUACAUCGAUAGAUACCAAGUAUUGACAUCUGACCCAUGGUGUACGUUAUAGUGUAUAGUUUCUUUUGUUGCUUGACAAUUUGUUCAUUUAGGCAUGCUGUGCUUUUCCAAGAACCUCAUUAAUUAUUUCACUCGAAAAAUAUAUACUUUUUUUAGAGUUUAUGUUUUUUUCUUUUCUGAUACUCUAAUUGACAUAAGGAAUAUAAUUAGUACUACUUGUGUUCAGCCCUGGUCCACGUUUAUUUUUUGGGCUUUAGCUGAAGAUGGAAUGAUAGGGUGUCUUUAGUUUCUGUCAACUUCUAGGUCUUGUUUAGUUCACGAGAAAUUUUGUAAAAUUAUUUAGAUUUCUUGUCAUAUCAAAUAUGGUGGCACAUAUAUAUAGUAUUAAAUAUAUAUUAAAAAAUAACUAAUUAUAUAGUUUAUUACAUAAUUUAUCUGUAAUUUACGAGACAAAUCUUUUGAGUCUAAUUAAUCUAUGAUUAGACAAUAUUUAUCCAACGAACAAAAGUGCUACGUGUCUAUUUUGUAAAAAAAAAUGCAACUAAACAAGGCCCUAGUAUGACUAGAAUUUUAGCGUGGGUAGCUUUAGUCUACUCCCACCAAACUAAUGUCUAUAUUAUGGAAGCCUAGCUAGCCUCACGUUCGUGUUUGGUUGCCUCUUCGAAUUGAUAAGCUUACCCCCUGGAGAGAUUUCGUCGAACAUGUGAUGAACAUCCUAGGCGAGCAGCAGCACACGGCAGCGGCGAGCAACGGGCAACACACGGCAAAGAUUGCACGACGAGCACGGUGGCACCAAUUGCUAGCACGACGAGCACCUCAGCGAGCAUGGAUUGCCUGACACGGCCUCCUAGAAAGCACCUCGGCAAGGCCAUCGCUCCUGCCGCCCACGAAGAAGAGAAGCUCGGCCACCACUGACCACUCCUGAAGAGGAGCUCCCAUCACGGCGGCAUGCUCGAAAAGAUGGUCGCCAUGCUACGGCUGCCGAUUUGCCAGAUUCGCUAGAGGAAGACCAGAUGCGCCAGAUUCGUUCUCGAGCUCCUGGCGAAAGGAGGAACAGAGGACUAUUUCAGCGGUAGUACCACAUGUGGACUCCAGCGGGAGGAGGACGAGCUCCUGGCUACUGGGUGACCACCGCCGCGCCACGAGACGUCCACUGCACCACCACGUGAUUGGUAUCACGAGCCAGGUUAUUGUUGCAAAGAGCCAAAGAAAUUAUAAAUUGACAGGUGGUUUAUGGAGAGACCAUCUAGCCACCAUUGAGGUCUUGCCAUGGCCAUUGCGGCACUGACCAAAGAAUUAUAAACUGGUAAUGAAGAAAACUUCAAGAUUAAUGCAAGAAUGGAAAAGGCCUCCUGGUCCUGGGAGUAAGGUUAUGGUGAAUGUUAAUGUAGCUUUUGAAGAAAAUGAAGGUGGUGGAAGUGUUGGCUCGAUCAUGAGAGAGUUCUGGAGCUGUGCUAACAGCACUCACAAUCAAUGAAUAAAGUUUGCUGUAUUGUUUUUUUUUUAAAAAAAAGCGCGAAGAAAUCUCCAAAUCGCAUGAUGGUCCGGGAAACCGUAGCAUCUCGAUCGCUUGAACACUGCAUUUUAUUCCUCCAUCAUCAUAAACAUGACAUCCAACCUAGACAUCGAGCAUGCAGUACAUCCUUCACUCCGAUCAAGAAAGACGCAUACAGUACAGCAUACUACACUGCAUGUACCAACAAGACGACACACAUGCACAUACAAAUAAAGCACAACACAUAUAACGACUAGCUAGAGCUAGCACGGCGACCAAGACUCUACGGCAGCGUAUAGUACGUACGUAGCAGCAGCGGCAGCCGUAGGGCCAUGCCGCGCCGGCGGUGGUCGCGCGCCGCCGCCGUACGUACGCCACCCCGCGCGCGCGGUAUCCAGGAGCAGGAUGACACGCGGUCCGCUCUCGCGCGUGUGCAUCUCAAGACCCCUGCGCCUGGUCGAUGCGGUGCUGCGCUGCGUCCUUGAUGUCGCGGGCCUUGGACGCCAGCCUCGCCUUGGCGUGGUCCAGCUGGUCGGCGCCCGGCGGGUGCUUGCCCGUCAGGUACUUGUACAUCCAGGAGAAGACGGACAGCGCGGCGACGCCGAGGCCGCCGGAGGUGACGAACCCGGCGGCCAUGAGCGCCAGCGCGAUGGCGGCCGGCACCAGCACCGGGCUGAAGAUCACCAGCACCGGGGUGGCGACCGUGAGCGCGAUCACGGUGCCCGCCAGGAUCAGCCCGGACAGCACCAGCAUCGACCCGCCGAAGGUCGCGGCCGUCGCCGCCUUGAUCGCCGUCAUCAUGGCGCCCUGCUUCUGCUGCUGCUGCUGCGACUCGCCGUACAUGCCGGCGCCGCCCCCACGGUUGUAGUCGCCGUAGCCACCCGCGCCACCUCCCGUCCCGCCCCGGUGGUGAUCCGCCAUGGCAAGCUGCUUAGCUUAGCUUAGCAGAGCGAGCUAGGUAGUACCACCACGUGCGCACACUGCCCAGAGCGCCUGCUGCAGCUGAUGCUACGGCUACGAGUGAGGUGGACGAGGGCCAGGGAGAGCGGGGCGUUUAUAGAGGGCGUGGGGAUGCGCGGAGGCGGGACCUGGCGCCGCCGCGUGGGACGCAUGCGAGACUCGUGUCCGGAGCCGCGCGACACCUGUGUAGGGGGGGUGUCGACGAGACGACAAGGCGUGCGUUGCGCGAUCGCGCCGCUUCCGCGCGGCGAUACGUACGAGGUUGUGGACGGACGCUCACUUGGAUCGGCCGCUGGUUGCCGGAGGACGGAGGUGAAGGUGACGGGGCCGAAUCUCAUGUGGGCCGUAGUCUGGGCUUUUUUUCUCUCUUGCCUUGCGUGUCUCUGAAGUCCAGUUCCGUGUCUCGCUAUUAGCAGGCUUGCAAUAGUCUGGGUCCAUGCAAUAAUUUGUGUGCCCGUUGGCCCAUUCGUUCACCUCACACCAUAUGCUCCAUUUUUCUUCUUUUUUUUAUUAAUUAAAAAAAGAAGUGUUUGGUACAGUAUGGACUUCGCCUGAUUCCGAUGCUGGCGUGUAAAGUCAGGAGGCCUUGGAAACUGAAAAGCUCUGACGAGGAUACUAGGCGAAAGGGAGACAGGAAUCAACGUUUUGGAGCCGUUCAAACCGCUGCUAGCAGCUAGCAUGCCUUGCUUUUCGAGAUGAACCACUGAAGCUAAGCUACUACUAGCAUCAAGCUGGGCACCUAAUUUCGACAUUAUUGUGUCCCUCCCCGUUCUUAUUGGACUAGGUGGAGCGGUGACACAUAAGAUCAGUUUCUUCUACCGGUCAAAAUCGAUCUUCCAGAUUUUGGCUGCAAAUUUGCUUCGCUUCAAGUGUGUUCGUGGUAAAGGGCAUGUUUGGUGAAGCUCUAUCUAAUUCUGAUUCUUGGUGAAAAGUGAUUAUGUGACUUACAGUGAUUCUCUUCGAUUCUUUAAUAUAAACUCUUAAAAUCACAGUAGAGAAUGACUACACAGAAUCAAUAGAAACUACUUUUUACAGCCUCUUAGUUCAUUUCAAAAAAUUAUUCAACACAGAAAAUCAAUUCUCUCUAAAAAAAACUCUGUUUAGCAGAGUUCUUAUUGGAUUUAGUCCACAAUAAGCUUGGGAGCUUUGCUAAUCGGGACCUAAAAUUCUCAUUGCGUAGGACAAUGCCUUCCACGUCAAACCUAUGUGGCUGGUGCCCUGCCACUCCUUUGGCAGCUUGCCCUGUGCACAGCUGCAUUUGCUUGGUGCUAUACCGUAGUACUUCGAUGGGAACAGUUCCGCUCCAAUUAAGGGCUUGUUUACUUCCAAUUUUUUUUGCAAAAUAGGAAUAGUAUCACUUUCGUUUGUAUUUGACAAAUAUUGUCCAAUUAUAGACUAACUAGGCUCAAAAGAUUCGUCUCGUCAAUUUCGACCAAACUGUGCAAUUAGUUUUUAUUUUUAUUUAUAUUUAAUACUCAAUGCAUACGUCUAAAGAUUCGAUGUGACGGAGAAUGUGAAAAAUUUUGCAAAAUUUUUGGGGAACUAAACAAGGCCUAAACCAAAUACGCCUUUUUGCAAGGAAAAAAAAAUCGAAGUACAGCCCUUUCCACUCCAAAAUGCCAAACUAAGCGUGCCUUUGUAUCGCUAGCUCUCUUCUCCUUUCCGUACCUUUUUCAUUUCAUCAUGCUAAUAAAAACACAUUAUGAGUUCAUGACCCACUCCACUAUUCAUGAAACAGUGGCCUGCUUUUGCCCCCAUGACCUGUACUCAGUCAGGUGCCAUACUGAUCGACCGGCAAGUAGGCGGAUCAUAUACACCUUUUUCUCUUUUUGAAUUUUGAUGCCCCCCUUUCCACCCAGAACCAGAAUACCCAACAAGUUGGAAAAAGAAAAAGAAAAAUAAACAUCUCAUAUAUACUACUCCCUCGGCCCGUGGCCCAAGUCCAGCUGUUGCGCAACACGACAACGCUGUGGUGGAUACUGCCUAGCUGGGAUCAGUCAUCAGUGAGGGUAAUCCUCCGCCUCCUCCUCCUCCUGUAAUCCACUGUGACGAGUGACGGACGCAUGCUUAUCCCUCUUUAGAUUACACAAGUCGAGGAUAAGCACGUACUUACGUGGGUGGGGCUCUGAUUUUUAUCUCGUUUCGUUAGGAGUAAAGACGAGCGCUCCAGCUUCUUUCAUCGCUUGCUUGUGUUGUGCUGCGUCUUUCUCCCUUUCGUCUCUCUCCAGUACCACCGCAAAGCAGCAGCAAGAUGGCGACGCUGACGCCUUCGCGCCACUUGCUCCACCGAGCUAUCCUUCGGCAGUCGGCACUCUGACAGAUUUGUUUCCUAUUUCAAAUGAGCGAACACGCAUAUGAGCCUUGUUUACUUCCACCCAAAACGAAACUAAUUACACAGUUUGAUCAGAAUUUACGAGACAAAACUUUUGAAGCUAGUUAGUCUAUAGUUAGAUAAUGAUUACUACAAACAAAUCAAAGUGCUACAAUAUCAUAAAAUUUUUCAAUGCAGGAACUAAACACGGCCAUGGUUAAACCCUUUCGUUUUGUUUUUUAUCUUUACACUCCAAAUCCAAUGUACUCGUACAUCUUCAAGCUGGAGCUGUGCUACCACCUCUCGAUAUAUCGCUGCCGUGGGCAACCCACCUUCCUACUACGUCAGCGUUUGGUUACUGCUGGGCUCUUAACAAUUUUGGUUUUAGACUUUCAGGGGGCUGAUUUACGAUUUCGGCAUGGGAUUUCGAUUUCGUGUCAUGAGUUCAGGUCGCUGUUCUGUUGACUUGCGCGCCUGUUUUUAGCCGCUGGAUAUUUAUCAGAUGAUGAUGGCGCACUCAUUGGUGGUACCAACGAACAAAGCAGAUUGUUCUUGAUCUCAUCGUCUCCCUACGUUUUUUCUUUUGUCUGUACAGUUUUUAUCAGCAGCACAUCACAACCACACCCCACCCUGACAAGUGACAACGACGCAUAUACCGAAAAAUUCGUUCGCAGACAAGACACUUGAUUACACACAGACAGCUUCUUCCGUUCCACUUGCGCGAGUUGCACGGAGGAGCAACAGCGGCAUCCGGAGCGGAGCUCGUCCGGAUCCCAAUCCAAUUGCUCCCGAGCUUAUCGCAUUCCAUCCGCUGGAGCUGUCACCGGGAUGCGCGCGCGCGCGCGCCCCCGUCGCAUUCGUGCACCGCGCAAGUGCCGCGCAGCUCCUUGUCCCGUAGGAGCCUUGGCUGGCGCAUCAUCCGUCGCGGCACGCCUCAUUGCCUCGCCGCGGUGCCCGGUGGCUGGCUGGCUGGCUCUGACCGAUCGGCGCAGGGCUAGAUGACGAGCUGCUCCACGCGCGGCGCCAUCGCCGCCUGCUCGACCGGCGCGGCAGGGAACCAAGGCUGGGCCGGCCGGUUCAGCUGGGAAGGCGGGGGCACCAGCGCCAUGGCCAUGUUGGCGGCGGCGGCCUCGCCUCGCUUCCGCCUCUUGGGCGAGCCGCUGGUCGAAGACGAGGAGGUGGUGGAGGAGCAGGACGAGAAGGACGAGUCCGAGGAGGAGGUGGCGGGCUCGGGCGACGGCCGCUUGUCCCCGGCGGUGGCCGCGGCGGCGAUCUCGGAGCCGAUGCGGAGCGGGAAGUUGAGGAGCGCGCGGGAGCCGCGCAUGCGGUAGGCGGCGCGGUCGUAGGCGAGCGCGGCGUCCUCGGCGGUGUCGUAGGUCCCGAGCCAGACGCGCGCGCCGUUCUUGGCGGGGUCCCUGAUCUCCGCCGCGAACUUGCCCCACGGCCGCUGCCUGACCCCUCGGUAGUGCUUGCCCCUGGCCACGGCCGCCGCGGCCGCCUCCCGCCUGGGCGUGGCGGCCGCCUCGCUGCUGGGCGUCAGCGGCUCCGCCGGGUCCAGGAGGAGGCCGCCGAAGCAGCAGGAGGAGCCGUCGUAGGAGUAGGAGUAGGAGUGGGAGUCCGGGGACAGCGCCGGCUCGGGCUUGACGUGCGCGAAGGAGCCGUCGGGCAGCCAGCCGUAGG
Molecule: long non-coding RNA, 75602 nt
Filed under: Sorghum bicolor (sorghum)
Lineage: Eukaryota; Viridiplantae; Streptophyta; Magnoliopsida; Poales; Poaceae
Description: long non-coding RNA (SBIC_LNC011350)
Source: RNAcentral